AACGACUGGUGGUGGGUGGUGAACGACGUGAACCACUGGCGGAGGAGGGUGGUGGGGAGAGGAUCUAGGCAUCUUCUUUUUGUGUUUUUUGAAACAAAACAUGGAGGGUUCGAAUUUGUGAAUUUUGAUGGUGUUAGAAUAUGGGUGUGAGAGAAAUUGGUAGUUUAUAGUGGAUCCAAGUCAAACAAAAGAUCAAAGAAAACUUGUAAAUGUGUAUGUGGUGGUGUUAGGUACACCUUAGCCAUGAAUGAAUUGAAAAGGAUCUCCAAAUUCAUCUAACCCACACAAAAGUUUUUUAAGUCUUAUCUUUUUAGAUCACAAAAACAUAAAACAGUUUUAGAUAUCGACAUAGAAAAUAUCUAGAAAUUCUCUUUAACCCGAUAUUUGAGUCUUGUAUGUCUACCAUUUCACCAUCAAACUAUCUUCAAACUUUUGUUUUAUGAGUCUGUUUGUACCAAAUAACUAAUUAUCGCUAACCAUGUCUCAUGUCCUAUCCGAUCAUUGAAUCAAUAGUGAUAAGUCGUGUUUGUUGUCUUUUUUUUUUUUCCAAAAAAGUGUGCAUAUAUUUUUUUUUAAAAGAAAUUACGUCUUUCUUUCAAUACAUAUCGAUUGAAGGCAAACGGGCAACAAGCUAUGCCGCUAGCUUUUCUGAAUAAUAAAACCAAUUCUUUUGAAAACUACAUUUGUGGAGGCCGAAAUAAAUAAGGUUGACACGUAAAUAUUGUAAUUUUAAGUAAUUGGUAUGCUAAAAUAUAUAGUAUAAAAGAACUUGUAUAUUAAAACUGUAAUGUGUUUUUAUAUAAACAAUCGAGGUGAAUUCAACAAGUGAACGAGCAUUAAUUGACAUGAUCGAAAUUCAAGUUGUAUGUCGAUGGAUGCGACGUUAGGGAAUUUGCAAAAUAUAUAAAAUUUUAUUAUUUGAGCAUUUAACAACUGAAAGGAAAUAUUUUCUUUAUUAUGAGGAUGUAGAUGGCUAUUUUUCUAUUAAUUUGGUUUGUUUUUUAAUUAAUUUUCAUGAUUUAAUCUGUUUGGCAUCGUUUAUAAAUAAUGUAUAAUUAACUAAAACUGACUCUUAUAUUUACAAACUAGUUUCUACUAUAGUGAAAAUAUAUUAUUUUAUAGGGAGAUCAUCUUGAAGAGAAAGCUUGGUUAAAAUUAGGGAAAAUGACACAUUAGCCCAAUGAUGUUUUGCACAUUUACCCAUUGAGUCCCUUAAUUAUUGUUCGUGCUUUAUGAGGGAGUAAACUUAUUUUUGUCGGAUCAAAUUGGUCCCUUUUGAAGAAAUGAAGGGGUAAGCCGGUAACUUCUUGGCCACCUCAACAAAGAAAUUGACUUUUAACUUCUUCCUUUAAAAAUUUCCUCCUUUGACUUUGAAUCGGGCCAUUUACAGUGAAUGGGAAUCAAUUUGGAAGCUAAUUUUGACUAUUUAGGAAAUCAAUUUUGACUAUUUUAUCUUUGGAUACUUCAUCGGCUCUUCACAGAUGAUGAAAUCAAUGUCGAGCUAGAAGUCUCCCAUCCUUUUACUUACUUUUAUUCAUCGUUUACAUCUGUUUCCUAGUUCUCUGGGUUCUCGAAUGCUUUAACAACACAGGAUCCGUUCAUCGGAUCCAUUUCUUGAUGGUCGUGUUAACAAUGAGAAUUCAUCAUCAGCACUUUCCAAGCUCUUCUUCUGCGACAUCGAAUUCGGCGAAUCGCAAUCAUCGUUCGCCCAAUACGGUGUUAACGCUUUGCCACACAUCCGCCUCCUUCCACCAGAUGCGACCACUUUAAAAACCGACUCGAUCUCCAUGGACACCGGUGAUUUCUCCCAUUUAGCCGAAUCCAUGGGUAAUUUAUCGAAUCGAGAACUAAACUCAAAAUGGGUCAAAUCCACCGUCCUCCAAUUCUCUAAAAAACUCAAAUAGGGUUCUUAAUCGCUGCAUUCCUGAUAUCCUUGCCAUUCCUGUUCAAAAGACUAUUAGGCUGUGAAACACUUCUACAUGAUAAUUAGAGGGUUUGGCUAUCCGGUUCUGUGUUCAUUUACUUCUUUAGCGUUUCGGGAAGUACGCACAACAUAAUUCGCAAAAUGCCGAUGUUCACAUCCGAUAGAACUGAUCCAAGUAAGCUCGUCUUCUUCUACCAGGGAUCUGGAAUGCAGUUGGGUGCUGAGGGUUUUGCUAUCGGGUUUCUUUACACCAUUAUUGGCAUGUUGUUGGCUUUUAUGACCCAUGUUUUGGUUAGGGUGCAGAGUAGGAUUGCACAGAGGAUGACAAUGAUCAUUGCCAUGAUUAUUUCAGUAUGGGCUGUAAGGAAAGUUGUGUAUUUAGAUAAUUUGAAGACUGGUUAUGAUGUUCAUACGUAUUUGGAUAAUCGACUCUUCACAGAUGAUGAAAUCAACGCCGAACUGUUGUUCUAGGGAGGGCUUGAUUUUGAGGGUGUGUCUCCGAUUUUUUAUUUUUUAAUGGAUUUUGAGACAAGAACAAAUGGUGUUUUGACUUUUAAAUGAGGAAAUGAAUACGUGGAACAUCAAACUGGCUAAUAUAGGUUAGAGGGACUAUAAAGACAGGUCACAACAAAGUUUAUUUCCUCAUAAAACACGGAAAAUAUUUAAGGGACUCAAUGGGUAAAUGUGUAAAACAACGUAGGGCUAAUGUGUCAUUUUUCCUUAAAUAUAAGCAUUAAAACCAUAAGCGUGACUGAUUUACUUUUUAUUUUGGCUGGUACUUAAUUUUAAGAUUUAUUAUUAUUAUUAUUAUUAUUAUUAUUAUUAUUAUUAUUAUUAUUAUUAUUAUUAUUUUUUCAUUAUUUUUCAAACUUGAUAAAUUGUUAAAACAAUCACAUUUAUAACUAUUUUUUUUUUUGUUUUUUUUAUUUUAAUAUACUACAUAUUUGACUAUUUUCUUUAGUUUUAUUAUAUUCAACUAUUUUAUGUUGGACUUUUUAGAUAUACUUACUGAAAAGUUUAAAAAUAUGAAAAUAGAGAAAUUACAAGUAGUAAAUGAAAACUAUAGUGAUUGUGAUGAAUCAGAUUUAGAAAAAUUAGAAGAACAAUUUAUGUCUAAUACACAGAUUAACAAAAUACUUCUUACUUUCGGAAAAUCCUUAAAAAAAAUCUUGUUUCCAAUUUUAAUUUUAAUUUUAAUGUCGCAAACUACACCACCUUUUUCUUAUAGUUAUAUACAAUAUAUUGUUACCUAAAUAUCUAAAUAUAUUAUAUAAUAGGUGUAAGACCCAUAUAUUACAUGAAUUAAUUAAAAGAAAUUAAAUAUAAAAGUCUAAAUAUUUAAAAACUUUCGAUUUAUAAGAAAACAAGAAAAAUAUGAAUUAUUAAAAUUGAUUUUUUAUCUUUUAAAUUUAAAUAAAUAAACAAAAUAAACUAAUAGACUUUCAUUUGGAAAUUUUGAAGUUAGAAGGUAAUUCCAUUAAUAAAAUUAAUAUCAAUUUAUUACUACGUUUAUUGUAAUUAUUAUAUUAAAGUAUUAUGUGGAAUUUAUUAAAAUAUAAAAACCUAUAAAAUGACAUGUGGAAAAGAAAAUUUAAUUCAAAAUAACCACAAUAUGACAUUUGGUAAUUUGAAAGAGAUUGUAACAUGUGGCAAAAAAAACAUUCAUUUAUUAGAAUAAUUUUUUAUCUUUUAAAUUUAAAUAAAUAAACAAAAUAAACUAAUAAGCUUUAAUUUAGAAAUUUUGAAAAAAGAAGGUAAGUCCAUUAAUAAAUUUGAUAUUUAUUUAUUUGUAACGACCCAAAAAUCAGGGGUAAAAAUUUCAUUUUGUUUAUAGUUAAAACACAGAUAUCAUUCGAAUUCAAGCAUUCCAAAAACAUUGCUAAUUAAAACAUUUAUCAGAGUUCAUCCCAAAAUCACAUAUUGCAGAAACACGGGUGUAUGCGUUACGAUCAUGCUGGGCCCACCCUUUCCAAACUAAUGAUACCUGAAACCAUAAACAAAACUGUAAGCACGAAGCUUAGUGAGCUCCCCAGAACAUACCCUGCACAAUUCGCAUAAUCACAUAAAUCAUAUUAGUUAUAUCAGCUACAUAAACCACAUAAGUCAUGCAUACAAACAUAUAAGGAUGUCGUGGACUCCCUCUAGGGUCUUAUACCUAUAUUCCAUGGGCUCCCCCUGGUCCUUACCUGGAAUGCCAUGGGCUACCCCUAUGGUCUAAUAUCCAAUUGUCAUGGGCUCCCCCCCGGGGGGGGGGGGUGUUGGGGUCUUCCAUGCAAGUAUCACAAAGAUAACUAACAUAUCACACAUCACAUAAACAACUAGUAUACCACAAAUCACAGAAACAAUGCAUAUAAGCAUAUAAGGAUGUCGUGGCCUCCUCCCAGGGUCUUAUACCUACAUCCCAUGGGCUCCCCCAUUGUCUUUACUACUUGUCAUGGGCUCCCCCACAUAGUCUUAUAUCCAACUUCCAUAGACUCCCCCCGGGGUCUUCCAUGCAAAAAAUAUAAGUUUAACUAGCAUAUUAUAUAUCACAGAAAUAUCUAUCAUACUAUAUAACUCAUACAUAACAUAUAUGGAUGUCGUGGACUCCCUCCAGGGUAUUGCUCCUAUGUGCUAUUGGCUCCCCCACAUGGUCUUAACUACUUGUUAUGGGCUCCCCACAUGCUCUUUACCUAGGAGUGCCAUGGUCUCCCCCACAUGGCCUUAUGUUCAACUGCUACGAGCUCCCCCCGAGGUCUCCACAUAUCUAGUCAAUAAGUACUAGCAUAUUCUCAUAUACAUGCAUACCAGAUAUAUCAGUGGUGAAUCCAUAAUAAACACUACAACUAACUAAAUGGGCCGGCCAUGGUACCUUCGACCCAUGGGUAUGGUGAGGAGACUAACCUCGAAUGCAAACGCUUCCCAAAUGAAAUCCUUAGCUGCUACCCUGUCCACUUCUCGGAGUUACCAAUAUCAGUUGACACUCAAUUAGCAAUUAAGUUCUAAUACAUACAUAUUCUUGGGCUUUGAGCAUUCUAACACUCCUAAGGUGUAUAUGCAACCCUAAAUACCUUGAAUCUAUGUUUUCUCUAUUAUACAUGCAAAGUUGAACUUUUCAAGGUAUUACCCUAACUAGCAUACAAAACUAUGAUACUUAGGUAAUAAAACAUGUUAGAUAACAUACCUUUUCUUUGUGGCUUGUUUCUUGGACUUUCAAGAGCUUAGCACCAAUAGUAUGAAUGCCUCAAAUGGAAAUACAACACACCUAGAACAAAGGAUAACUUGAGAAGAGAUUCCUUGCACACACAAAUCGGCUAGCCCUCUAGUAUUCCACUUAAGUCACUCCUUAGUACCACUUAAGUGCCAAUUUCAUGAGCCAGAGGGGUUCUUAUAUAGUGUGGCAAACUAUGGUUACACCAUGUAAACCCUAAUAACUUUCCAUAUCCCUCAUGCUCCAUGGGUUAAAACCUCCAUGGAGUAUCCAUGGGUUACCACAUGGCUUUAGCCCAACAUGAAGAACUAUGGAUCAUAAGCCCACUUUAUAAGAAUGAAUGAUUUACCAAAUCAACCCCUUAUAUUUAAUUGGUCUCUAUUGAUCACAAAAUUAAUUCCAAAUUAAUUCUUGAUCAAUACUAAUUAAAUAAUAUGAUUUCAUAUUAAUAUAUUAGAACUUAUAAUAUAUUAAUAAACCAUAAAUAACCUCUUCUCAAUUAUCCAUCCUUCAGAUUAUUCCGGUGCCAUGCAACCUAAAUGGACCAUGCUACUCUCGGGUCAAGUACAUACCAAUAAUAGUUAUGGGCUCAGACAUCUAAUCCAACAGCCUCCCAUUUGGAUAAGUCUAAUAACUAUUAUUGCAAGCAUGACUCCAACCCGACUAGCAAUCGUAGCUCUUAAAAACCGUUGUCGAACUCUGACCUAGUCAAUAACACGUCCGUUAGAUAAGGGAUAAUAUAUUCCUCCAUUCUAGAUAUCAUGUGGACUAAGACAUGGAUUAUAAUCAUUCUCUCUGUCCAUCUGUUGUUUCCUGAUUUCUGAUUUAUGACGACUGACUAAUUAAACAAAUCAAAUCAGUCCAGACCUGGUGUCAUCACUAAAUCAUCAAGGGGCCCACAUAUAUCGCUUUUAUCCACAUGGGGUAAAAGGAACGGAUAAACUUCGACCCAAAUGCUUGCUUGUACUUACUCAUCAAAUUACACACAACGAUAUGUUUUAUAACAUUCAUGUUACUGGUGCGUUUACAUAUGUCAAUGUGCAACCGCCUUGCAACUACAACUCACAUGUCUCUGUUUCAAUAAUAUAAGAUAUUAUCGUCUCACAAUCACUCGUGAUAAAAUACAUGAAGUGAUUCAGAUGAGCGUGGGUUGAAUCCAAUACUCAAAUCUUAUUCCAGGAGCACUCAUGAACACUGUAGUCACUUUGUCCUAGAAAAACUACAGACCCAUUCAUGUCAGUCUUGCCUCAAUACCUACAUCCAAAGUAUGAUCAACUGUGGAUGGUUUGAAUAAUCUAGUUAUUUGGGAAGUCAAAACAUGCAAAGUGAAACACAAUAAUAAUACUAAUCCUAUAUGGCCCCAAACAUUUUGAGCCAUAUUGAUUACUCAUCAUUCAUUGUAAUAAAUGAUUUAUUAAUAUAUUAUGAGAAUAAUAUAUUAAUUAGAAAUCAUAUUAUAAUUAGUAUUUUAUCAGAAAUUAAUUUGCAAUUAAUUUUAGGAUCAACGGAAGUGAUAAAAAGAAUGGGGAUUGUUUUGCAAAUCAUUGAUAGUUGAAAAACUGGGCUGCUGGACUCCAUUGGAAUGGGGUGGAUGAAAUUCUAUAGGGAGGGCCUAUAGAAUUCGUUCAAGGCUUCUAGAAGUGGAGUCCCAUGGACUUAUUAGGGCCUAAGCAAGAGAUUAGGGUUUCCACCUGAAAACCCUAGCAGCCUCAGCUAUAUAAUGACCCCUUCACAUGUGAUUAUCGGCCAACUGCUUCCUUAAAGAACCCUAGCCAAAGUUCUUAGUGUUUCCUCCUUUCUCCUUCUCAUCCUCUUGCUACAAGUGUUUGUGAGCCAUUAGAGGUGCAAAAUUUGGGGCACUAAAGCUUUCAAUGGUCAAGAUCAAUCUAGGAAUUCUUAUUAUUGCAAUAUAACAAGCAUGAUAAUGUUCUUAACCCUUUUCAUAUGUUAAUUUUUAAUUGUAUAUGCUAGAUCUAGGGUUGUUUCUUUGGAAUUUCUUUUGCAUGUUCAAUUAGUGAAAAAUUUAAAUCCAAGGCAAUUAGGGUUGCAUGAACACAUAGGAUGUUAUUAUGCUCAAAACCUAUCAAUGUACUCACCAGGUUUCGCAACCUGACCCAAUCAGUUUAUUGUAUCAGAUACAGUCUGCUAAGAGAUUCAAGGAGUUUUAACCCGCUAGUUUAAUUACUAUAAGAUUUGUAAGAUUUCGUUAUGCUUACGUUUAUGUAUAGACGAUGACAUCUAAAUGUUUUAAUAUAAAUGAAAUACAUUUCUUCGAAAAUGAUUUGAUAAUACCAUUAACAUUUUUUCUGGGAACAAAUUCCGCAAUAUUAUUCUUCAAAAAAGGAAAAUCUAAUUUUUAAAUAAGUAUAAACAAAUCGGCCUUUUAUUGUCGUGAAAUUUGGGAUGUCACAGUUGGUAUCAGAGAAUUAGUUUAAGAGAAAUAGGAAUUUGUAGGAUUUCUAGACUUAAAUUUGAUGAUUGUAAGACGAUUGUCUGUUAUACUUAGGAAAUAUAUAAACACGAGCACUAGCUUAUUUUAGGAAAUAUAUUUAUUUUCCUAUUGUUUCUGUAAGACCUUCAUAAAUAUUGACUUAACAAUGGAUAGAUUCCUCAUAUUUUUCCCCACUAGGAAAGUGUAAUUGUUGCCCAGGUGAAUCAAUAUAUUGAGAUUAAGAGUCACGAGGAAGGAUUGCACAAAUUGGUAUUUUUGUAGCAAAACUAAUGAAACCAAAGAUGUAAUGAAGUGUAAACCUAAUGAAAUCGAUAAAAUCAAGGAAAGUUUUUGUGACAACCCAAGUUGUCCCGUUACAUUUCCCCGUUACCGUUAACGGAAUAUUCCACUGUAUAAAAGUUCUGUUAAUUAGAGGGCAUCAAUUUAAUAAACAUUCCAUUUGGUUACCUUUAACAUGCCGUUAAGUCGUGAUAAAAGGGAAUAAAAACUCAAGACACACAUUUCCAUUUAUUGAGGAAAUGUCAAGUUUUAUUAUUACGACCACUAAAUCGGGUGCGACCAAAAGCCCCGUUUAACGGCAGUAUCGGGUAAAAUUCCACUGAGCCCCGACUGUGAAACCUAUAUAAGGGUGAGUGGAGUCAAAUGGGAGACUUUUUACACUCUCUCUCUAUACUCUCUCUCUAGACCCGUUUUUGCCCCGAAUUCGCAACCAAACGCUUCCAAAUUGUAAGUCCGCUUACCCUAACUUAUUCUAAGCGUAUUGAUUUAUGUUUAUAGCCCAAAAAUCAUCCAAGAAGGCAUAAGAUAAGGAGUUUACGGCCCAGGAACAUUCUAGGGCCGUAAACCCCUAAAAAGGUGUUAAAAAUGCCUUUAAACUUGACCAUGAGCUUAGAAACUAUUAGGGGAUAUAGCCUAGGGGUGUUUAAACACUAAAAUGCAUGGAUUUAGGACUCAAAGAAGAGUUUACGGCCCAAGCACAUGCUUAGGCCGUAAACUCCACAAGUUAGGGUCCCAAAUGUGCACCAAACUCAUCCUAGGGCUUAUUACAUAUUUUAGGGACUUAUUCCUUUGAGUUUAGGACACUAGAACACUCCAAAAUGAAUUAAAGAAAGGAGUUUACGGCCCAUGAAUAGUCAAGGCCGUAAACUCCCUAAAAUCAUGCCCAAAAGUGUGAUUUUGCCCCCCUAAUGGCCUUAGACAUUUACCAUAAAAUGCUAGAAUGGAAAUAAAGGCUUAAACACAAGAAAAAUGAGACAUUUCUUGGAGUUUACGGCCCAAGCAUUUUCUAGGCCGUAAACUCCCCUAAAACCCCCUCAAAUGUUGGUUUUAAUCCUCCAAAAUAGCAUCACACUUCAUUAGAAAUCACUAGAAAGGCAUUAGAGGCUUGAAACUUCACUAAACUCAAAGAUUGAGAGUUUACGGCCGUAAACUCCCUUGGGAGAGUUCUUAGGCCGUAAACUCCUAUAAAAUACCUUUAGAAGCCUCAAAUCCAAUCAUGCCUUUGAUGAAAAGUGCUUAGAAUAAAUCAAGGAACAAGCUAGAAGCAUCAAAACCCCAAGAAUAUGACCUUGGGAGUUUACGGCCGUAAACUCCCUUAGGUUGGGCCGUAAACUCCUUGUUUGGUCCAUAUUGAUGCUUUAAACCCCUUUACACCCUUGAUACUUGAGCAUAGCAAAGUCCCACAGCUGAUAGGAGACCCUUAGCACCCUUAAACGCUACCCGGGACCCCAAACACUCAACCAAAAGUGUUUUCCACUCCUUUGAGUGUGUAUAAUUGUUUUAUUAGUAUAUUAUAUGCUAAUUGUAUGUGAACAUAUGUUAUCAUAUGUUAAAAUAGGUCCUUGUGUGUGUUCAAGUCCUUGCGUGACCCCGAACGCCUAAACGGCACUACCGUCGGACCUACUUAUACCAGGUGAGUUCAUACCCCUGAAUGAACCUUUUUAAUGCUUUUAAAUGUUUUCAUAGGGGGGGAUUACAAGUUAAACAUGCCAGUUAUCAUAUCAAUCACAUGUGAUUGAUAACCCGCAUGCACAAGAUUUUACCACUGUACACUGUUUUACCGAGUAGGACACUAUAAAUGGCUUUCAAAAAGGGUUUUUAAAUUGUUCAAGUUCUUACUUUCAUAGCUUAUCAAAGACUCAUUUCAACUGAUUUAUAAAAGAUUCUCAAAGAUUUCUAAAGAUUUUCACACCUAUUUUAUCAAAGAAUACAAAUGCGAUUUUUCCUGAGUAACAAAAUCUUUAAGGGUUUUCAUGAAUACUUAUAAUUGUUAGAUACCACUGCUUCGCUUAUACUUAUUUUAUGCUCCUACUCUGUAAUGUUUUUGCUUGUACCUGAAGUCACUUAUACCUGAUAACUCUUAUACUUAUUUACCCUCUUACUUAGUGAUACGAUUCUACUUCGCUUGUAUUUGAGAUCGACUUUACUUCACUUAUACUUGAUACGCUCUUACUUCACUUGUGGUCAUAUCUACUUCGCGAUGCGCCUAUACUUAUUCGACACUUAUACUUCACUUGCGACCGCUCUUGCUUCACUUAUUAGACACUCCUACUUCACGAGAAUCACUUUCACUUGAUACCCACUUAGUCAUAGUUAGAUGUAUGUCCGUACUUAUAUAGGUAUAUAUAAGUAAUGACUGAAAGACUUAGGAAGGCUCAUCGGCCCUAUUUCCUUUUCUUCGUUGAGAUGUGGUCUGGUGGGAUCGGGUAGCCGUCCGAAGGUCGUUUGGUCCAUUAGUUAAAUACUAUGUAUAUGAGUAUGGACAUAUAGGGAAUUCUCUAGUCAAGUCAAUUAAGAGUCUCUUCUUCUAUUCUACACUCACUUUAGAAACACACUACCCACUGCUUGGAAGUCUCUACCGCUAGAAUAUCACUUGUGUUAGAAACCCACUCCUCUCAAGAAACACACUAUUCUCUAUUUGGGAUGCAUCUUCGGGACGCGGCCUUCUCCGUCGUCUAGUUGGUAACCAGAGUCUCCUGUAGGGAGAGCGGACAUUGUGUGUAUAGGCCUAUACGGGAUUGACAACCCCGCACCCUGACUGCUAGCUACAGUCCACGGCCCACCAAGCCAAGGGGUGACAAAUGUCAUAUUAUAUAGAUGCUUGUAGGGCGUCUGGAACUCUAGUCAGUAUGGUUACGAGUAUCCUGGGUUGCCUUAUAAUUCAUGGCUUUAAGGUAACGGUAUUUUCGUCAGCAAUUUACACUGUAUGCUGAUGUCACUUUUCAGAGUCACUCUGUUUCGACCUUGCUAGCUGUAUCUUUCAUUUGAUACUGUCUGGGGUCUAUAGUCUCUGUUUCGACCUUGCUAGCUGUAUCUUUCAUUUGAUACUGUCUGGGGUCUAUAGUCUCUGUUUCGACCUUGCUAGCUGUAUCUUUCAUUUGAUACUGUCUGGGGUCUAUAGUCUCUGUUUCGACCUUGCUAGCUGUAUCUUUCAUUUGAUACUGUCUGGGGUCUAUAAUCUCUGUUUCGACCUUGCUAGCUGUAUCUUUCAUUUGAUACUGUCUGGGGUCUAUAGUCUCUGUUUCGACCUUGCUAGCUGUAUCUUUCAAUUGAUACUGUCUGGGGUCCGUAGUCUUUGUUCUGACCUUGUGAGAGAUACCUUUCAUUUGGUAUCGUCUUCGGUCUAUAUUUACUGUUUUAGACCUUACCAGCUGUACCUUUCGUUUGGUACCUUCUGGGGUCUAUGUCUCCCCUUUGUUAGACUGAACCAGGCGUGUCGUCAGUUCGAUACCCUCCUGGAGUCUAUGAUUCUUUGCCUUAGUCAGCAGUCCUCACUGCUGAGGCAUAUGUUAUUCCCUGAUGUCUCCUGCUUUCUUAAAUAAUCAAAUUCAGUAUUUUGAUAACAAUGUCAAUUAAGGGAAAACUACCUCUUACCACAAUGCACUGAAACAGUCUUGGUAGAAGGCUGCUUUAUUUAAAGAAAAUAUAGGAUUUUCUGGAAAGGACACUGAAGCACUGAAAGCACUUAAACUACUACUUAUUAAAGUUAUUUGACUAAAUGACACUAAAUACUUAUGAACUCACCAGCAUUUGUAAAAAUGCUGAUACUCGCUUUUCAAAUAACUUGUAAUCUCAGGUCAGCAAUUAGACAGGUACAUCCCCGGAGCUGCUGAUGAAGAUGGCCUAAGUACCUUGCUGCACUUUAUAUAUGUUGCUUGUAUUACUUUGAUACUAUGUAAUGUAACCAUGUAAAAUUAUUACUAUUAAUGCAAUGUUUUGUUGUACUUUGAUUACUAUAUGCAUGUGUUGUGAUACUUGACAUGACGUCAUCCACCCCAGAACGUUUCCGCCGUUCCGGUUUUGGGGUGUGACAGAUUGGUAUCAGAGCAUUGUUUAUAGUGAGCUAAGUAUAUCAAUUCAUAAAAGAUAUACAGCCUAUAAAUGCAAUGGGAUAAAACACUCUGACCAAGAAUUAUACUUUAAAAUAUAACCAUAUUUUACCAAAGUAUAAUAACAUCCAGAAUCUAAGCACUCGAACAAAAGUAUCACAAGAAGAACAAUAAUAAAAGUCUUCGGAUGUUGAGCACUACAGUCAAACCUGGGCAGUUAUGUAAUCGUAAGCUGGGAUAAAUGUAACCUGAUCAACUACAUUUAUCCGAGAUGCGAUGAACGUGUGCUCGGGAGUGAUAGUGGUGUGCAGCAGAUCUGAAACUUACCAAAUAGGAAUUCUAGAGCCAAACAUAAAGUUAAAAUACUAUAGGAGUAUUUUAGAACGCUAAAAGAUCCACACUAAUCCCAGAAUCAUAAUCAGAAGAUAAGACUCAAUCAAGAAUUAAAAUACCAUGGGGGUAUUUUAGAAUCUAUAAACAACCUUGCGUGAAUAAUUAAAAAGACCCUUAUCGAUAUACCUACAACUACAGAGGGUGUACUUCCAAGAUCUUAUAUAAUAAAGACCCCAUAGGCUAAGAAGGUGUGGUUUCGCUCUGUUUCCUUUUCCUCGUUGGGAUGUGGUCCUAGAGUAGUAUCACAUAUUCGAAGGCCUAUCGGAUCUAAGCUAUAUAGGAUUUGUAUACCCUGUGUAAUCGUAGCAGGACUCGAUAUGGAUCAUACAGUGAAAUGUUAAUAAUCCCUUAGGAUUCUUUAGACAUUUCCAUUCUCGCGCGAACCCUGUAGAAAAACCCUAUCCACUUCAGUGCUUGACAGAAGAGUUGAUUUCGACCCCGAGGAGAUUCAUUGAGAAGAUUUCCUGUUCGGAAGUGAAUGAACCGGGUCGGGACUAUUGAAUACACCAAGUGCCCAUAUUCUCUUAGGGACAGUGGUGAGAGAUUCGCCUAAACUUCGGAGAUUCCUAGUCAUCCAUCAUGAAGUGAUGACACCCAUAGUUGGAAUCAGAAGGAAGGCGGAGUAGAAAUUCGAUAUGUCCAUACAAGAAGAGAACCCUAGGAAACUACCCGAAGGAAGCCAACGCCGAUUCCAGCCAAAGAUACGAGGCAGACCGAGGGAGCUAGUACAUAGAACCCGGGAAUUGUCUUUUCCUCGUAUUCGCCACGAUAAUUCACCCUUAAAAAUGAUGCAGUUUAGUGAGUUAGUGGUUACACUACUCACGCUAUGUGUUAGGUAAAUCGUCGUUUCCCGUUGCCAGAUACGCGAUUAGGGCGGAUCCCCACAUCUCUAUUGAGAAAAUUUUAGCCAUCUGCCCUUGUGAGUUUCCCUUUCCACGAUUUCGUUCCGAACCGUUCUCAAUUCUCUCCAGGCCGGAGAGUGAAACCUUUCCAUGUAUAAAAGUAACUUAGUAGGAACGACUCGCAUCUUAUGGCCUUUUUCCGAUACUCAUACUCUUACCUUGAUUUCCAGGACUACAUCAUAGGGAUGUAGGUCAACGUUCAAACAACUAGUACCCGAGGCACGGGAAAAAUUUAUGCCUAAUGCGUUCAGGACAGAAAUGUCCAGGGUUAACCAUCAUCUCUCAUUACCUUGUAUUCCUCUCCGUGUAGGAAAAACCAUGCCACCGAAGAAGCGUAACCAAUCCGCAAGCAAGAAACCUGCCCUCUUAUUCGAUGAAGCUACGUUCCAAGCUGCAGUCUCAGCAGCCGUAGCAGCUGUCAUGGCUCACCUGAAUGCUAACAACGCCAAUGUUAGCAAGGGCCCUGUCGGGAUUUCCAAUCCUGGCAAUGGACGGCAGCAACCCACUCUUCCACACUCAGCCACCCAAGAACCUCCACUGAACCCACUAAAGAGAAAACUCAAGAUAGAGGAGGGAAGUACCUCGGCUCCAGGACCUUCCGAAGGGCAACGAGCUGAGGCAGUCGAUACCCCUGUAAAUCCUUCCCUCCCGACCUCAAGAAGACCAUACCUAGGAGACCUUCCCCACUGCAGCAAGUGCAGCUACCAUCAUCAUGGUACCUGCCGGGAACUCUAUUGUGCUAGGUGCCACAUGCUGGGGCAUACUGCUCGUGUCUGCAGAACCCCGGUUGAGUUCAUUACACCAACCACCAAUGUGGCGACCCGUAUGGUUUGCCACCUAUGUGGUAGAAUGGGACACUCUAAGAGGGACUGCCCAACUGAAGAGAAAGACAAAGACACAGAAGGAGCCUGACACUACUGCUUAGGAAGAAGCAGCAAAGAAACUCGUUGGAUUUUUGGUACGUCUCUCGAUCCCGGAUAACUAAGCUAAGAAAACAAUAAAAGACUAAUUCAAGUAUAAAUUCUUUCUAGUAAGGUGAAAGUCGCAGCACUGUUAUAAAAUUUAAAAAUUCAUUAGGUAAAACUACAAUGGCUAAACAUAUACGUUACGGCCAUGUAUAUUUAGGAUGGAUAGACCUAGAGUGAGCGAAUGCCGCCUCAUUUCCUGUUCCUCGUUUGGUUGUGGAUUUAGGGCGGGGUCGCUCAGUCAACAGUCCUCCCCACCUUAAAUAUACAUGACUAGUAUAUGUGAGGCGAUUAUAGAAAUGCCUCGUGAGAAUCCAUUCAAGAAAAGAUACUCUAUUCGGAAACACUUAGAACUCUCUAUAGUUCCGCGUCGACUCUAUCGGUCCAAGUAUCCGCGGUAGCGAUAUAUGGGACGAAACCCGAGACGCCUAGAACUUGUGUGCCUGUUCGGCACAUGACUCUAUCGAUCUUCACUUUAUAUCAUGUCGAAGUGAGCCAACUUCGACGACUCUAUUGAGCACGGUUUGACUUCGUGCAACCAUGUGUACAUUCUUAGUGCUGUGAGCUUUCUCCAUGGCCAUAUCGGCAAAUAAAGGUUCCUCCGAACCCGAACCUAACACAAAUAAUCACAUCUAAUGCAAUUCGUCAACCGUCCCUCUUAUCUCAAACCUUCCGAAGUACUCAAGUGAGGGUACCCCACGCCGUCGAUCGACCCCUCGUAGUCAAAUGAACACCAAAGUGAAAGGCACUGCAAAUACCUCAGAAAACGACAACCAUCCGAGGCAUACUCCGUUGAGUUCCCUGGGUGACCCUCCUCACCUCACACAUAAGGUUCGUGAACCCAGAGAAUAGAACUCAUGAGGCUGGCCACUAUGACCAGGUGUACUGCUGGCAUCCAUCAAGUAUGGGCAGUUAAGCCACGCAUGAGUUCUACCAUGAACCUCUUCGCAAAACACUUUCACCCCAUUCGAUGACAUAGGAGCAGAAAAUCAAGAGAACUACUGCGGAUUGAGCUAGUAGAGUUCCGAGUGAAGAGACCCUAUGCCCACUAGAUUUGCCUUAGACCGAGAAAACUCAGAACCUUUGGGAGAAUAGUUGCGGUAGGUGCUCGCACUACUCCUGCACCUUGCCCACCCAGUUAUAGGCAGGUAGUGCUUAUCAUCCUCCACCCUCUCACAAGGAGGAAAAUCGUCGUCGCCUCGUAGAUGAUGAAUCAUAUUUCCCGAGGUAAACACUAGAAUACCGAGAACCACAGGGUAACCUUCGCAGCCAAGAAUACUUGGUCAAGUGCGAAAGUAGUUGCGUUAAAUCUCAUGACACGGAUCCCGAAAAGAUUAUAGACUCGACACCAGCCUUGGUGUUAGUCGAGGGAUUACGUCGGAGCACGCACUUUCCACGCUAGAAUAAACCACAGUCUUAGAGAUUCCUUGGACUAAUAGGUGUUCUCCGAAUACUAUCUCAAGCAGAGAUAGUAGAACUACCUCGCGAGAUAGUCCAACACUCGUCUGGUGAAACCCUAUCUCCCCGAUUCUCAGGGUUUCCGUAUCUCAAGCGUCGUUAGUGCAGGUCCAUUUUGCACAAGCUGGAGAUAGACACUCUAUAGCAAACCGAUGACCAUAGUCGCGCAACCCACUUGACGAUCUAGGAAGCCUCUAUCAUCCAGUGGAAAGAAAGCAUGAAACUGAAGACCACUUGAGAUUCCUAAGAACCAACCCGAAGGACUACACUACCAGUACGAGAGAGAACGUUAGGAACUUCGGAAUGGCGAUCACGCCAGUGAUGAUCUUGCCAUAGAAGUACACUAUGUUCUAAGUACUGAAAGGCUCUACCCUUCCUAGAGCGUAGGACCAUCCGGGAAUCCUCAUGGAAAUUUGGUCCAAUCCUUUUCAGACCACUACUACUUUCGGAUAUACCACAAGAUUCACAUUCGACCGAUCCACUUCUUAGACUUGAUAUGCGAUUAUCCGACAACACUCUUCGUGCCUCACUCAUCUUGAUAGAAUCCAUCGAGAACCCUGACUUCAUAGAUACACCAGUCGGAACCCGCUAGCUACACUAGACGGAAUGCGCAUCCCGUAUGUGAAGAUCUGUGGGAAGGACAAACACAGACUAGAGAUCACUUGGGAAUGCGAGGGCAACCGUAUAGGAAGUACUCCCUCAUCUCUACUUGGCCAUUCAUGCCUACUUCCUUGUCUAGACUUGAAUUUCGGGACGAAAUUCCCUCUAACGGGGGGAUGUUGUGACAACCCAAGUUGUCCCGUUACAUUUCCCCGUUACCGUUAACGGAAUAUUCCACUGUAUAAAAGUUCCGUUAAUUAGAGGGCAUCAAUUUAAUAAACAUUCCAUUUGGUUACCUUUAACAUGCCGUUAAGUCGUGAUAAAAGGGAAUAAAAACUCAAGACACACAUUUCCAUUUAUUGAGGAAAUGUCAAGUUUUAUUAUUACGACCACUAAAUCGGGUGCGACCAAAAGCCCCGUUUAACGGCAGUAUCGGGUAAAAUUCCACUGAGCCCCGACUGUGAAACCUAUAUAAGGGUGAGUGGAGUCAAAUGGGAGACUUUUUACACUCUCUCUCUAUACUCUCUCUCUAGACCCGUUUUCGCCCCGAAUUCGCAACCAAACGCUUCCAAAUUGUAAGUCCGCUUACCCUAACUUAUUCUAAGCGUAUUGAUUUAUGUUUAUAGCCCAAAAAUCAUCCAAGAAGGCAUAAGAUAAGGAGUUUACGGCCCAGGAACAUUCUAGGGCCGUAAACCCCUAAAAAGGUGUUAAAAAUGCCUUUAAACUUGACCAUGAGCUUAGAAACUAUUAGGGGAUAUAGCCUAGGGGUGUUUAAACACUAAAAUGCAUGGAUUUAGGACUCAAAGAAGAGUUUACGGCCCAAGCACAUGCUUAGGCCGUAAACUCCACAAGUUAGGGUCCCAAAUGUGCACCAAACUCAUCCUAGGGCUUAUUACAUAUUUUAGGGACUUAUUCCUUUGAGUUUAGGACACUAGAACACUCCAAAAUGAAUUAAAGAAAGGAGUUUACGGCCCAUGAAUAGUCAAGGCCGUAAACUCCCUAAAAUCAUGCCCAAAAGUGUGAUUUUGCCCCCCUAAUGGCCUUAGACAUUUACCAUAAAAUGCUAGAAUGGAAUUAAAGGCUUAAACACAAGAAAAAUGAGACAUUUCUUGGAGUUUACGGCCCAAGCAUUUUCUAGGCCGUAAACUCCCCUAAAACCCCCUCAAAUGUUGGUUUUAAUCCUCCAAAAUAGCAUCACACUUCAUUAGAAAUCACUAGAAAGGCAUUAGAGGCUUGAAACUUCACUAAACUCAAAGAUUGAGAGUUUACGGCCGUAAACUCCCUUGGGAGAGUUCUUAGGCCGUAAACUCCUAUAAAAUACCUUUAGAAGCCUCAAAUCCAAUCAUGCCUUUGAUGAAAAGUGCUUAGAAUAAAUCAAGGAACAAGCUAGAAGCAUCAAAACCCCAAGAACAUGACCUUGGGAGUUUACGGCCGUAAACUCCCUUAGGUUGGGCCGUAAACUCCUUGUUUGGUCCAUAUUGAUGCUUUAAACCCCUUUACACCCUUGAUACUUGAGCAUAGCAAAGUCCCACAGCUGAUAGGAGACCCUUAGCACCCUUAAACGCUACCCGGGACCCCAAACACUCAACCAAAAGUGUUUUCCACUCCUUUGAGUGUGUAUAAUUGUUUAAUUAGUAUAUUAUAUGCUAAUUGUAUGUGAACAUAUGUUAUCAUAUGUUAAAAUAGGUCCUUGUGUGUGUUCAAGUCCUUGCGUGACCCCGAACGCCUAAACGGCACUACCGUCGGACCUACUUAUACCAGGUGAGUUCAUACCCCUGAAUGAACCUUUUUAAUGCUUUUAAAUGUUUUCAUAGGGGGGGAUUACAAGUUAAACAUGCCAGUUAUCAUAUCAAUCACAUGUGAUUGAUAACCCGCAUGCACAAGAUUUUACCACUGUACACUGUUUUACCGAGUAGGACACUAUAAAUGGCUUUCAAAAAGGGUUUUUAAAUUGUUCAAGUUCUUACUUUCAUAGCUUAUCAAAGACUCAUUUCAACUGAUUUAUAAAAGAUUCUCAAAGAUUUCUAAAGAUUUUCACACCUAUUUUAUCAAAGAAUACAAAUGCGAUUUUCCUGAGUAACAAAAUCUUUAAGGGUUUUUCAUGAAUACUUUUAAUUGUUAGAUACCACUGCUUCGCUUAUACUUAUUUUAUGCUCCUACUCUGUAAUGUUUUUGCUUAUACCUGAAGUCACUUAUACCUGAUAACGCUUAUACUUAUUUACCCUCUUACUUAGUGAUACGAUUCUACUUCGCUUGUAUUUGAGAUCGACUUUACUUCACUUAUACUUGAUACGCUCUUACUUCACUUGUGGUCAUAUCUACUUCGCGAUGCGCCUAUACUUAUUCGACACUUAUACUUCACUUGCGACCGCUCUUACUUCACUUAUUAGACACUCCUACUUCACGAGAAUCACUUUCACUUGAUACCCACUUAGUCAUAGUUAGAUGUAUGUCCGUACUUAUAUAGGUAUAUAUAAGUAAUGACUGAAAGACUUAGGAAGGCUCAUCGGCCCUAUUUCCUUUUCUUCGUUGAGAUGUGGUCUGGUGGGAUCGGGUAGCCGUCCGAAGGUCGUUUGGUCCAUUAGUUAAAUACUAUGUAUAUGAGUAUGGACAUAUAGGGAAUUCUCUAGUCAAGUCAAUUAAGAGUCUCUUCUUCUAUUCUACACUCACUUUAGAAACACACUACCCACUGCUUGGAAGUCUCUACCGCUAGAAUAUCACUUGUGUUAGAAACCCACUCCUCUCAAGAAACACACUAUUCUCUAUUUGGGAUGCAUCUUCGGGACGCGGCCUUCUCCGUCGUCUAGUUGGUAACCAGAGUCUCCUGUAGGGAGAGCGGACAUUGUGUGUAUAGGCCUAUACGGGAUUGACAACCCCGCACCCUGACUGCUAGCUACAGUCCACGGCCCACCAAGCCAAGGGGUGACAAAUGUCAUAUUAUAUAGAUGCUUGUAGGGCGUCUGGAACUCUAGUCAGUAUGGUUACGAGUAUCCUGGGUUGCCUUAUAAUUCAUGGCUUUAAGGUAACGGUAUUUUCGUCAGCAAUUUACACUGUAUGCUGAUGUCACUUUUCAGAGUCACUCUGUUUCGACCUUGCUAGCUGUAUCUUUCAUUUGAUACUGUCUGGGGUCUAUAAUCUCUGUUUCGACCUUGCUAGCUGUAUCUUUCAUUUGAUACUGUCUGGGGUCUAUAAUCUCUGUUUCGACCUUGCUAGCUGUAUCUUUCAUUUGAUACUGUCUGGGGUCUAUAAUCUCUGUUUCGACCUUGCUAGCUGUAUCUUUCAUUUGAUACUGUCUGGGGUCUAUAAUCUCUGUUUCGACCUUGCUAGCUGUAUCUUUCAUUUGAUACUGUCUGGGGUCUAUAGUCUCUGUUUCGACCUUGCUAGCUGUAUCUUUCAAUUGAUACUGUCUGGGGUCCGUAGUCUUUGUUCUGACCUUGUGAGAGAUACCUUUCAUUUGGUAUCGUCUUCGGUCUAUAUUUACUGUUUUAGACCUUACCAGUUGUACCUUUCGUUUGGUACCUUCUGGGGUCUAUGUCUCCCCUUUGUUAGACUAAACCAGGCGUGUCGUCAGUUCGAUACCCUCCUGGAGUCUAUGAUUCUUUGCCUUAGUCAGCAGUCCUCACUGCUGAGGCAUAUGUUAUUCCCUGAUGUCUCCUGCUUUCUUAAAUAAUCAAAUUCAGUAUUUUGAUAACAAUGUCAAUUAAGGGAAAACUACCUCUUACCACAAUGCACUGAAACAGUCUUGGUAGAAGGCUGCUUUAUUUAAAGAAAAUAUAGGAUUUUCUGGAAAGGACACUGAAGCACUGAAAGCACUUAAACUACUACUUAUUAAAGUUAUUUGACUAAAUGACACUAAAUGCUUAUGAACUCACCAGCAUUUGUAAAAAAAAAUGCUGAUACUCGCUUUUCAAAUAACUUGUAAUCUUAGGUAAGCAAUUAGACAGGUACAUCCCCGGAGCUGCUGAUGAAGAUGGCCUAAGUACCUUGCUGCACUUCAUAUAUGUUGCUUGUAUUACUUUGAUACUAUGUAAUGUAACCAUGUAAAAUUAUUACUAUUAAUGCAAUGUUUUGUUGUACUUUGAUUACUAUAUGCAUGUGUUGUGAUACUUGACAUGACGUCAUCUACCCCAGAACGUUUCCGCCGUUCCGGUUUUGGGGUGUGACAGUUUUUUUAUUGUUCAAUGAUAUUUUCAUUAUUUUCUCUAGUCAUCAUACUUUCUAAGAAAUCUUUUUGCAGAUUGAAGGGGGAAAUGGGAAAAGAUGGGUACUCAUCUAUACAGUCACUGGGUUCAAUGAGUUACAUCGAAAUAAUGGAUAGUGGGUAUGGUAAUGAUACAUGCAUAUCGAGUGGAAACAUAUCUGGAAGUAGUUUCAUAUGUGUAUUAAGUUAUGAUAUUGACUCCUUUUUAAGCAAGUCUAAAGGUUGUUGUUGGGUUUAACUUUUAAUGAUAUGAUUGUAUCAAGAAAUGAUCUAUAUAAUUAUAACUAUAACCAAUAUGAUUUUUUUCAGUUAAACCAAGUGAAACUGCAUAGUAAAGGAAUGAGUAUGAAGCUAGGUAAGGGAAAAACAAUUCCUAGAAUCAUGAAAUGUUGAAGCUGAAGUGAUUAUGGAAUAUGUAUGUGCAAAUGGUGGUAAUAAUCCAGGUAGAUUUGUGACUAUUGGAAAUAUAUUACGAAGAUAAGGAUUUUUUUUUCUUGGUAGCUGGAAUUAAGUCUAAUUAAGAUUAUAUUUUAAUCGCAUCAACUUAAUGAAAGAAGUUGAAGUGAUGAAUGGGUUACCUUUGAAGCAUAUCAUAUACAUCAAUUUGCUAGAAUAAUAACUCAUACAUAACAAUAAUCAAUUCCUUAAAUUAUUACAUUUAUUGUACUUUAAUAAUUAUAUGUGAUUUGGCUAUGGGGCAAUUUUUGUUAACAUUUUAAACUAGAUAUCAUUUUUUGUUGGCAUAUUGUUGUUUUUUUUAAUCACAUGUAUGAUGUUUAUACAUAAUAAGGUAACGUACUUUCAUUUUAAUGUUUAUUUUUCUAUUAUUUUGGAACCUUUUUACUUGAAAGGCCAAUCUGCUUUAUUUUUUGGGUUUCUACUCACAUGGUAUCCUUUUGAGCAUCAAAAAGCAAUGUACUUUGACUUUAUUUGGUUUUUUAUCAACUAUUAUGGUUGUGUGUCAAAAGAAAAUGAAUUUUUAUUGGUUUUAAAUUCAUGUCAUCUGUUUUAGUAUUUGUGUACCUCACCCACAAAAAAACGAUGAAACAAUAAAACAAUAAAGCAACGUACUUUCAUUUGUGUACCUCAUCCUCGUGCAAAGCACAUGCAUUUUGACUAGUUAUAUCAUUAAAAAAAUAGUUAUUAAAAGGUUGAUGUGACUUGGAUGAUGUAGGAUUUUUUUACAAAUUUAAGUAAUCUAAACUAAUAUGCAUUUUUUUGGACAAAUAACCAUUUUAUUUGUAAAAUGACCACAUUGUUUGGAACAAUGUGUUCCGGAGUGGAGUACAAAAUCCUAAACCAACAUUCUGGAGUGGUAUUUCAAAGUUGUUUUCAAAAUUUGUAAAUUUAACUUAACUGUUGUUCAUAUGUAGUUUGUUCAUUUUUGUGUUUAAUUAUGGUUUAGUGGCCGUUAAAUUUUAUAUGGGUUUUGAAAAAGAAAUUGUAUAUAUUGCAAAAAGUAACAGAACAAUGCAUGAAAAUUCAUAAUCUAUUGCAAAAGUUAUCACUACAUAAACUUAUAUAUGUUUUAAUUAAUAAUACAAUAUGAAAAUGGACCCUUAUUUUUUCUUUGUAUCCUACACGAUUUAUGCAAAUCGCUUUCGAUAUGACAUGGUCCACGUCUUAGUGGAACCCUUAAUCCUCACAGAUUUCCAACGAUCAACCUCUCUUGAAAUCAAUAUAACAACACUCCACAAUCCCCUUUAUCACUACAUUGUUAUGGUACAUAUGCGCCUUCAUAAUAGUGACUUUGAAACUCGCAUGUGGGGAUUACAUCCAUGGGUUUGUUACUCCAAUAGUUGAUACCCACUAGGAGUUGGUGGACACUGGAUCACAUAGUUAUAAACCAAGAUGCAGAUUUUGAAAAAUAUAUAAACCAAGAUGCAUAUUUUGAAAAAUAUUUGUCAUUCCAGUAUGUAUCAUAUAUAGUCAAUCUGAAUGUUUAAAAAUCCAAAAAACCAGAAACGAGUGGCCAUGUGAUAUAUUAAUAGGGAUGUAUAGUUGCAUAAAAGGUUGGAAUCAAAUAAUCAUCAUAUAAUAUUUUCUUAUAAGUGACUAUUAAUUACUCAAGUAAUGUAAUUGAAAAACAAGUAUAUCAUAUACCACUCAAAAUAAGUAAAGUAAAUGGAUCGGCCAUGUCAUAAUUGAUGGGUUUUAGCCAUAAGAACUUUCCUAUGUGCGCAUGCAAAACCCUAAUGCUUGGAUCUAGGCUUUCUAAUAAACAUGCAUUGAAUCCAAGUCUUCUAAUGACUAAUUAGGUUAAACAAGAACAUUGAAACAGAUCUAGAAUCAUACCUUUGAGUUCCUUGUUGAUCUUGAGGUCUUGGAGCUUCUAGAGUCACAAGUGUCACUCCUCUAAUGGCUUACAAACACCAAAGCAAGGAGGAUGAUUUGGGAGAGAGGAGAGGGGAGGAAUUCGACCAGAGGUUCCUUACUUUAGGUCAAGUGUCGAAUUCCAUCAGCCAUGGGGUUUAUUUAUACUUGUAGACUCCUUAAGGAUUACAGAUAAGUCCCUAUCAGAUAAUCUUCUCUUAAGGCUAUCCAAAUCCAUUCCUAGAUAACUCUAAUGGACGAUUUUAGCUAUCCUAAUCCUAUUAGAAUUCGUCCAUAGUAUAUCCAAAUGGAUUUACAGUUUAAAGCUUAACUAUCAAACAAUUGACAGUUUAUACCCCUUUACUUAAUUAAUCUCUUUAAGUCACCAAAUUAAUUCUAAUUAAUUCUAUGACUUAUAUUAAUCAAAUAACAAAUAUAUUAUUCAUUAUAUUAUUCACAUAAUAUAUUAAUAAUAUUUAUUCUCUCUUAAUAAAUCAUCCUAUCAAGUUGCUAUGGUGAAGGCAACCCAAAAGGACCAUGCACAACCGGAUAUAGUUACAGCCUUAGACACUAUUCCAACAGUCUCCCACUUGGAUAAGUCUAGUAACUAUACAAGUACAAUUCGGUUUGCAAUCGUAGCUCUCAAAGACGCUGUCAACUCUGAUCUAAUCAAUCUUGUCCUUUAGAUAAGGGAACGUACAGUCCUCUGUUAGAUAUCAUGCUGACAAUCCUAUGGAAUGGUUAGUCAAGCAUUUAGGUUUCUCGAUCUCUGAUUUAUUUGACAUAGAACUUAAUCGAACACAUCAAUUCAGUUCUGACCGGGCCCGGCACAUAAGUCAAAUCAAAUCAUCGAGCGGCCGAGAUAUCGCUUUUACCUUCUUAGAUAAAAGUUACAGAUAAACUUCGACUUAUAUGCAUUUACUUAUUCAUUAACCAACUAUACACAACAAUACGUUUUAUAACACCAAGUUACUGAUGCGUUUUCGUAUUAUCAAUGUACAAUCAAUUAACAAAUAAUAAACCAUAUAUCUAGGUUUUAAGACUAUAUGAUAUUAUCGUCUUGCGAUCACCUUUUAUAUCGUAUUCCAUAAGGUGAUUCCAGCAAGCGCGGGUUUAUUCCAAUGCUCAAAACUAGUUCAUAAGCACUCAUGAACGUUGCAGCAAUCCUUUGCUAUGUCUAACACCAUUUAGACAUUCUACACACCAAUUCAUGACAAUCUUCUUUCAUAUCUACUCCCAACAUAUGAACGAUUGUGGACCAUUUGAAUAAUUCGAUUAUUCCUAAUAAACUCAAUUAUUCUGGAAGUCAAAACAUGCAAAGUGAAACAAUAGCUAAACAAUUAACAUAAGAUAGUAACAUUACUCAUAAAUAAAACUCCUUUAUUUAAUCAUCAAAUGUCAAUUACAUUUAUCUAUUACACGUUUCUAAUACUAUCUAAUCUAUGCUAAUAUCAUCCUUCAGCCCAAUACUCCUAGCAUGCUGCAAGUGCUUAACCCUACUCAGUCCCUUCGUAAGCGGAUCUGCUGGGUUAUCUUCUGAUGAUAUCCUCUUCACUACGAGUUGUCCUUCUUCUACACGAUGUCUAAUGAAGUGAUACUUUCUGUCGAUAUGUCUUGAUCUACCAUGAUCCCUCGGUUCCUUGGUUAAGGCAACCGCACCUUCGUUAUCACAGAAAAUCUCCAUUGGCUCCUUUAUGGCAGGUACGACUCCAAGAUCACCGAUGAAGUUCUUUAGCCAUAUUGCCUCCUUCGACGCUUCGCUCGCUGCAAUGUACUCUGAUUCGCACGUUGAAUCAGCUACGGUUUCCUGCUUGGAACUCUUCCAUGUCACUGCUCCUCCAUUUAGGGUAAAGACCCAGCCCGACUGCGAACGGUAGUUGUCCCUGUCGGUCUGAAAACUGGCGUCACUAUACCCUCGCACCUUCAAGUCAUCACUCCCUCCGAGGACUAAGAACCAUUCCUUCGUCCUCCGAAGGUACUUAAGGAUAUUCUUCACCGCAAUCCAAUGUGCUUUGCCAGGAUUCCCUUGAUAUCUGCUAACCAUGCUCAAAGCGAAGGCUACAUCAGGGCGAGUACAAGUCAUAGCGUACAUGAUUGAGCCAACUGCGGAAGCGUAUGGUACUCGGCUCAUUUCUGCUAUCUCAGCUUCGGUACUCGGACUUUGAGUCUUACUCAAUUUGGCAUUACUUUGUAUCGGUAGUUCUCCCUUCUUUGAGUUUUCCAUACUAAAACGUUUUAGUACCUUCUCUAAGUAAGUAUUCUGACUAAGUCCAAUUAGUCUCUUACUUCUUUCUCUUACUAUCCUUAUUCCCAAAAUGUAAGAAGCCUCUCCGAGGUCCUUCAUAGCGAAGCACUUCCCGAGCCAGGACUUAACCUCCUGCAGAGUCGGGAUGUCGUUUCCUAUGAGUAAUAUGUCAUCGACAUAUAGAACGAGGAAGCUUACUAUACUCCCACUGGCUUUGACAUAUACACAAGAUUCGUCUUCGCUUCGUACAAAUCCAAACUCUUUGACUUUCUCAUCGAAGCAAAGAUUCCAUCUGCGAGACGCUUGCUUAAGUCCAUAAAUGGACUUCUCAAGCUUACACACUCUAUUCGGAUGCUUCGGAUCCACAAACCCCUCUGGCUGAGCCAUGUAAACAUCCUCAGCCAACUUUCCGUUAAGGAAAGCGGUCUUGACAUCCAUUUGCCAAAUCUCAUAAUCAUGAAAUGCGGCAAUUGCUAGCAUCACUCUAAUAGAUUUAAUCUUCGCAACUGGUGAGAAGGUCUCAUCAUAGUCAACUCCGGGAGUUUGAGUAAAGCCCUUCGCAACCAAUCGCGCUUUAUAUGUGUGUACGUUUCCAUCCACGUCGGUCUUCUUCUUGAAGAUCCAUUUGCACCCAACGGUCUUACGUCCGGGCACAUAAUCAACCAAAUUCCAAACUUGGUUAUCAUACAUGGAUUGGAUCUCGCUAUCCAUUGCCUCUUUCCAUUUUGCAGACUCCGGGCCUGCCAUGGCUUCCUUAUAGCUAUUAGGUUCAUCAAGAUUUAUUAGUGUACCAUCACUAAUAUACGUGUCCCCUUCGGUAGUAAUAUGAAAACCAUAAAACUGGGGUUGAACUCUAACUCUAUCGGAACGUCUAAGAGGUAAGGAUUCGUCAAUCGGUUCAACCGGAGUUUCCUCCUCGGGUUGAGUGCCAGCGGUAGAGGUUCCUUCAUCUAUCGACUCUUGAAUCUCUUCAAGCUCGAUUUGCCUCCCACUGUCUCCUUGGCUUAUGAGUUCUCGCUCUCGGAAAACUCCUCUCCUCGCAACGAAGACAACAUUGUCCUUCGGUCUAUAGAAGAGAUAUCCAAAGGAUGUCUGCGGGUAGCCGAUGAAAAUACAUCGCUCACUUCGAGGUUCAAGCUUGUCGUGAGUAUCUCGUCUUACGAAAGCCUCGCAACCCCAAACCUUGAUAUGUGCCAACGAGGGAGCUUUCCCUGUCCACAUCUCGUGAGGUGUUUUGGCAACCUUCUUAGUAGGGACUCGGUUAAGGAUAUGGGCGGCAGUCUCUAAGGCAUACCCCCAAAAAGAGAUAGGUAGUGAAGCACGACUCAUCAUAGAGCGAACCAUAUCCAAUAAGGUUCGAUUACGCCUUUCUGCCACACCAUUCAACUGCGGUGUCCUAGGAGGCGUCAAUUGCGAAACUAUUCCACACUCCUUGAGAUAAUCGUGGAAUUCAAGACUUAGGUACUCUCCUCCUCGAUCGGAUCGAAGCAUCUUGAUUUUCCUGCCCAAUUGAUUCUCCACUUCAUUCUUGAACUCUUUGAACUUUUCAAAGGUGUCUGACUUUUGCUUGAUUAAGUAGAUAUACCCAUAUCUACUAUAGUCAUCGGUAAAAGUCACAUAGAAGCGGUUCCCAUCCUUCGUGGUUGAUCUAAACGGUCCACAUACAUCGGUAUGUAUUAGGUCCAAUAGACCCUCGCCCCUUUCACAUGUACUCGUGAAGGGUGACUUAGUCAUCUUUCCAAGCAAACAAGACUCGCAUGUGUCAUCUUCCCUAAGGUCGAAUGACUCCAACACUCCAUCCUUUUGGAGUUGGGCUAUGCGUUUCUUGUUGACAUGUCCAAGACGACAAUGCCACAAGGAUGCUUUAUCCAUACUAGUGGAAGAAUCAAUAUUCAAAACAUCAUUUCCUAAGUUAUCAACAAUCAUAACGGUUUCAUAUAUUCCAUUACAUGGUAUAGCUUCAAAGUAAAAGACACCAUUUAGAUAAGCCAAAAUAGAACCAUUCUCAUUAUUAAAAGAAAAUCUAAAUCCUUGUCUAUAUAAACCAUGAAAUGAAAUGAUGUUUCUUGCCAUUUCUGGCGAAUAGCAACAAUUGUUCAAAUCUAAAACUAAACUAUUCCUAAGCACUAAGGAAUACACUCCAAUCUUGGUCACAGGCGACGAUCUUCUGUUCCCCAUGAUUAGAUUGAUCCUUCCUUGCUCCACAUCCCUACUUCUUCUUAGUCCCUGCACAUUAGAACAAAUGUGAUAACCACAACCGGUAUCAAGAACCCAAGAAAUAGCAUGAUUAGAAUCGUUAGAUUUGAUUGUAUAUAUACCUGCGAAAGAUGGCUUGAUCUUUCCUUCUUUGAUUGCUUGCAGGUAAUCCGGGCAGCUUCUCUUCCAAUGUCCUAUCUUGUGGCAGUGGUGGCACUCUGCCUCCUUCGGGUUAGAGCAGGGCUUGGCGGGAUCAACUUUGGUCCCACUAGAAGAGGCACCAUCUCGGGCUUUCACCUUGCGAUAGUUCUUCGAUGAAGCUUUCCUCUUCUUUCCCUUCCCUUGUCCAAUAGCCAAGACAGGAGCAGCGGGCGGAUUGGGAGUAGGUGCAACAGACUUGUCUUUGAAGUUGCUCUCAGCAACCCUCAAGAGACCUUGGAGCUUGCUUAGGGUGACCUCUUCUUUGUUCAUGUGGUAGGUCAUCCUAAAUUGGUUGUACAUCGGAGGCAAAGAGUGAAGCACCAUGUCGAUCGCCAAGUCUUCACCGAAGUCAACAUUUAACUUGCGGAGGCGGUCAACAUACCUUUGCAUCUUUUGCAAGUGCACGGUAAGAGAUUCUCCAUGACCCAUCUUCGCGGAAAUCAUGUUAGUGAAAAUCUCGUACCUCUCUUGUCUCGCGUUUUGGUGGUACCUCUCCAAUAAGUCUUGAUGCAUCUCGUACGGGUACAUGUCCUCGUAGGACUUUUGGAAUUCGGAGUUCAUGGUGGCGAUCAUGAUGCAAUGUACCUUCGUUGCAUCUCGCUCAUGAGUUUCAAAGGCGGUGAUUUCGGCGGGAGUAGCAAUUUCGGGGUUGAUUUUCUCGAGCUUCUCAUCGAGGACAUACUCCUUAUCCUCAUAGCGAGCAAUGGUGCGAAUGUAUCUUAUCCAUUCGCUAAAGUUCGUUCCAUCGAAGGUGACCUUUUGGCAAAGGCUCAUCAACGUGAAAGAACUAGCAGCAGCGUUGUUUGCGUUCGACAUCUACAAUUAGAAAAGGACAAAGAUAGAUUAGAAUAAGAAUCCCUAAUUAUCACCCAAUAAGAAAAUUAGGGCUAGGAUCCAACAAUAACAUUUACAUACUAGAAAAGGGAUGCCGUAAUCUAACAUGCAAAUAAAUUGAAGGUAAGUGAAUGACGAUUCACUAAUUCUCCAUCACAAAACUUAAACUAUUAGUCCUAAGUGUUUUUGAGAAUUCCUAGGUUCGGAUGAGAUUCAUUGAAACUAUUCAAUGGCAUGUUUAAAUCUCGAUAUGCCCCUCUUGUUUGUGACUGGGAUGCCGAGGAUCACAAAGCGGGUGUGAAUUACCAUGCAAAUUCACAUGGUGCCUUCAUUGUAACAAUCACCUAUUCGAUGUGCCGGUAAACCACACACGCUCCAUCGAACUAUGAUAAACAAUGAAUCACCCUUUGCCACCUUCGCUUAGAACCAAUUAGUGUGCCGGUAAACCACACACGCUCCACUAACAUCUUAGCAAGGUGCAAAGUGUAAUUUCAUGGGAUUGCAUCAAUUCACUUUUCCUAAAGUAACUAGGAUUGGGAAAUUUUAAAAAAAUGUGUAGUUACUUUAUAUUUCUUAUUAUACUUUUAAUGAGAGGAUGAGGUUGCCCUAUCCUACCCGUUCGGCUAACGACCCUCCACCAAUCAAGCAAGCGGUGGGUGUGAGUGUACACCCAUUAAGCGCCAUUUUAUAGGCCGCAACCUUAUACCCACCUUAUAGAUCGGCUUCGUGAAUGAGGCCUACUAACGGUAAGACUAGCAUUUAGUUAUACAUAUAUAUAUUAUUCUAGUAAUAUCAUAUUAGUAUAGGGUUGUAUUUUAAAACUUUUAAAAUCUAGGGUUUGAAAUUUAAGUUGUCUAAAUUAAAACUUUUAAUCACAAAAGUAAAUUUCAAAACAUGAGGGUAGGUUUUAAACAUUUAAAACAUGGAGGAUCAAAUAACAAAUAAUUCCAAUUAACAAUUAAUAUCCUAAUUAUCUAUAUUUGAUUUAUUCAAGAUUUCUUUUAAAGAUAAUUACCAAAAUAAUCAAAAUAAUUAAUUAAUUAUCAUAUAAGGAAAUUAAAUAUUUAAUUAGUUGAUAAUUACCUUUAACUAGAUCAAGAUAAUAGUUAUAUUUAUCAGAAAAACGAAUUAAUGUUGAUCUAAUUAGUUUAUGGUAAGUUAAGAUAAGAUAAACACAAAGAAAUCCCGAAUCUGGCCAUUCCUGACGCCUGGACUCGCCGAGUGCACAAAUGGACUCGCCGAGUCAGGCCUACUCGCCGAGUCCACUUUGAGACUCGCCGAGUCCAUGACUCAGAAACCAAAAAUUCGAAUUUUGCAGGUUUGUUUCAGUUAAUCAAGCAACAAUUUACAGAAAACCAAGCUAGGCUCUGAUACCACUGAUGGGUUUUAGCCAUAAGAACUUUCCUAUGUGCGCAUGCAAAACCCUAAUGCUUGGAUCUAGGCUUUCUAAUAAACAUGCUUUGAAUCCAAGACUUCUAAUUACUAAUUAGGUUAAACAAGAACAUUAAAACAGAUCUAGAAUCAUACCUUUGAGUUCCUUGUUGAUCUUGAGGUCUUGGAGCUUCUAGAGUCACAAAUGUCACUCCUCUAAUGGCUUACAAACACCAAAGCAAGGAGGAUGAUUUGGGAGAGAGGAGAGGGGAGGAAUUUCGACCAGAGGUUCCUUACUUUAGGUCAAGUGUCGAAUUCCAUCAGCCAUGGGGUCUAUUUAUACUUGUAGACUCCUUAAGGAUUACAGAUAAGUCCCUAUCAGAUAAUCUUCUCUUAAGGCUAUCCAAAUCCAUUCCUAGAUAACUCUAAUGGACGAUUUUAGCUAUCCUAAUCCUCUUAGAAUUCGUCCAUAGUAUAUCCAAAUGGAUUUACAGUCUAAAGCUUAACUAUCAAACAAUUGACAGUUUAUACCCCUUUAUUUAAUUAAUCUCUUUAAGUCACCAAAUUAAUUCUAAUUAAUUCUAUGACUUAUAUUAAUCAAAUAACAAAUAUAUUAUUCAUUAUAUUAUUCACAUAAUAUAUUAAUAAUAUUUACUCUCUCUUAAUAAAUCAUCCUAUCAAGUUGCUAUGGUGAAGGCAACCCAAAAGGACCAUGCAUAACCGGAUCAAAUACUUGCCUAAUAUAGUUGCAGCCUUAGACACUAUUCCAACAAUAAUACUCCUCUACAUCUGUAUUGAAAGUUGUCAAUAAAAUUGUCCACUGAUCGAGGUCAUCAUCUCGAUCAAAAAUAAACUACACACACACACACUAGAUAGCUAGGGUAAGUAAGGGUCGAAUCAACGAGGAGUUUGUGGUCAAACCUUGUGUUGAACAUGUUUCUUCCCCAGUGGGUUAAACGUGUUUUCGGGUUUUGUGACUAUUUAAGGUGCAUUAUUACCAAUGGUUUGUCAUUCCUCAGCCUCCAUAAACCUUAAAAUGUUCCUUGAGUGAAACCCUAGUAGGUUGAACGUGUUUUAGGGUUUUGUGACUACGUACUCUGAUUCACACGUUUAAUCAGCCACAGUCUCCUAUUUGGAACUUUUCCAAGUUCUUUCUCCUCCAUUUAGGGUAAACACCCAACCCGACUGAGAAUGCAUAUUAUCUCUUUCAGUCUGAAAUCCGGCGUCACAAUACCCUAAUACUCUCAAGUCAUCACUCCCACCGAGAGUAAGGAUCCAAUCAUUAGUCCUCUGUAAGUACUUAAGAAUGUUCUUAACUGCAGUCCAAUGAGCUCUACCAGGAUUUCCUUGAUAUCUAAUGACCAUGCUUAAAGCAAAGGCCACAUCAGGGCGAGUACAAGUCAUAGCAUACAUGAUUGAGCCGACCGCCGAAGCAUAUGGUACUCGACUCAUUUCUGCUAUCUCAACCUCUAUACUCGGACUCUGAGUCUUACUUAGUUUGGUAUUGCUUUGGAUAGGCAAGUCAUCUUUCUUGGAGUUCUCCAUGCUGAAAUGCUUCAGCACCUUGUCCAAGUACGUACUUUGACUAUGUCCUAUUAGUAUCUUACUCCUGUCUCUUAAAAUCCUUAUCCCUAGGAUAUAGGUAGCUUCUCCAAGGUCCUUCAUAGCAAAACACUUCCCAAGCCAGGACUUGACUUCCUGCAAGGUCGAGACGUCAUUUGCUAUAAGUAAUAUGUCAUCCACAUACAACACGAGAAAUCUAACUAUCCUCCCACUAGCCUUGACAUACAUACAGGACUCAUCCUUGCUUCUCGAAAAUUCAAACUGUUUGACUUUCUCAUCGAAACAAAGAUUCCAACUGCGAGAUGCUUGUUUCAAUCCAUAUAUGGAUCUCUCAAGCUUACACACUCUAUUAGGGUAUCUUGCAUCGACAAAACCCUCUGGCUGACUCACGUAAACAUCUUCAGCCAACUUUCCAUUAAGGAAAGUAGUUUUGACAUCCAUCUACCAUAUUUCAUAUUUAUGAAAUGCAGCUAUGGCCAACAUAACCCUUAUAGAUUUAAUCUUUGCUAUUGGUGCGAAGGUCUCAUCAUAGUCAACUCCAUGAGUUUGAGUAAAGCCCAUUGCAACUAGUCGCGCCUUAUAUGUGUGUACUUUUCCAUCCAUGCCGAUUUUCUUCUUGAAGAUCCAUUUGCACCCGACGGUCUUUCGACCCGGUUCAUUGUCAACCAAGUUCCAAAACAUGAUUAUCAUAUAUGGACUGAAUCUCGCUAUCCAUAGCCUCCUUCCAUUUAGCAGAUUCAGGACCAGCCAUGGCUUCCUUGUAGUUGUUAGGCUUAUCCAAAUUCACCAAUGUACUAUCACUGAUAAAUGUAUCACCUUUUACAGUAAUAUGGAAACCAUAAUAAUACUCAGGUGCAAUCCUAACUCUGGUGGAAUGCCUCAGAGGUACAGAUUCGUCAAUAGGUUCAAUAGGAGUUUCUUCCUCGGGUUGAUCGCUAGUGUUUCAGGUUCCUUCAUCGAUUGAUACUUGAAGCUCUUCAAUGUCAAUUUGCCUCCCACUGUCCCCUUGGAAUAUAAGCUCUCUCUCACGAAAGGCCCUUCUCGUGACGAAAACAUCAUUGUCACUCAGUCGAUAAAAGAGAUAUCCAAAGGAUUUCUGUGGUUAGCCGAUGAAAAUACAUCGCUUACUCUGAGGUUCGAGCUUGUCGUGAGUCUCGCACCUCACGAAAGCCUCGCAACCCCAAACUUUGAUGUGAUCCAAAGUGGGAACUUUCCCAGUCCUCAUCUCAUGAGGUGUUUUGGUAACCUCCUUUUGCAGGGACUAGAUUAAGGAUAUGGGCAGAAGUCUCUAAGGUAUACCCCCAAAACGAGAUUGAUAACGAAGCUUGACUCAUCAUAAAACAAACCAUGUCCAACGAGGUUCGAUUGCACCUCUCAGCCGUGGUGUCCUAGGAGGUUUCAGUUGUGAAACAAUUCCACAUUCCUUAAGAUAGUUGUCGAACUCGAUACUAAGAUACUCUCCUCCUCGAUCGGAUGGGAGUAACUUUAUCUUCCUGCCUAAUUGAUUCUCCACUCCUGCCUUAAAAUCUUUGAACUUUCAAAGGUUUCUGACUUAUGCUUGAUUAAGUAGAUAUAUCCAUACCUACUUUAAUCAUCUGUAAAAGUCACAUAGAAGCGGCUAGCAUUUCUUGUGACAGAUCUGAAGGGCCCACACACAUCAUUGUGUAUGAGAUCAAACAAACCCUCACCCAUUUCACAAGUACCAGUAAAGGGUGACUUAGUCAUCUUUCCAAGUAAACAAGAUUCACAAGUGUCAUCCGAUUUCAAGUCGAAUGAUUCCAAGACUCCAUCCUUUUGGAGUUGGCCUAUACGCUUCUUGUUGACAUGUCCAAGACGACAAUGCCAUAAGCAUGCUUUAUCCAAAUCAUUGGAUGAAUCAAUAUGUAACACAUUAUUUCCUAGGUUAUCUACAACAUUCAUAGUUUCAUACACACCGUUACAAGGCAAAGCUUCAAAAUAAAAGACACCAUUAUAAUAAGCAUAAAUACCAACAUUAUUAUUAUUAAAAGCAAAGGUAAAAUCUUGUUUAUACAAACUGUGAAAGGAAAUAAUAUUUCUCGUAAUAUCGGCAGAGAAACAACAAUUAUUCAAAUCUAAAUUUAAACCAUUAUUAAUCAAUAAAGAAUAAACUCCAAUCUUGGUCACAGACAACACUUUCUUAUUUCCCAUGAUUAAGUUUAUCUUCCCGUGAUCCAUAUCCUUACUUCUUGUUAGUCCCUGCAAAUCAGAACAAAUAUGAAUACCACAACCAGUAUCAAGGACCCAAGAAUUAGCAUAUGAUGUUUCAUUAGAAUGAAUAGUGUAAAUACAUGCAAUGGAGGGCUUGAUUUUCCCACCCUUAAUAUCAUGCAAGUCCUUUGGGCAGCUUCGCUUCCAGUUCCCCUUUUCAUGGCAAUGGAAACACUCUGCUUCCUUUGGAUUGGUAGAGGGCACAACAGAACCAACUUUGGUUCCGCUAGAAGAAGAUCCAUCCUAGGACUUUGUUGGAUUAGUGUCUAUGUCCAUAACUAUUUUGGUAUGUACUUGACCCUAUUAUGAGCAUGGUCCUUUUGGGUUGCCUUCAUCAUAGCAAUAUGUAGGAUGAAUUAAGGAGAGAAAGGUUUAAUUAUGACUUGUUAAUAUAUUAUAAGAAUAAUAUAUUAAAUGAGAAACCGAAAUGUUUAAUUAAUAUUAGUCAAGAAUUAAUUUUGUGGCUAAAAGAGAUCAAUUAAACUUAAGGGACUUACUGUGCAAUUAUAAGAUAAUUACAUAGAUGAGCUUAUGGACUCCAUAGAAGGUGGAGUGGACGAAUUCUAUGGGGAAACCCAUUAGAAAUCAUCCAAGGCUUCUAAAGAAGGAGUCUAUGGGCUGCUUAGGGCUUAAGCAGUCAAAUUAGGGUUUCCUUGUUAGAUAACCCUAAUUGCCUAAGUAUAUAAGGAGCCCUUAGGCACCAAAAACAUGGUUAACUGAUUCCUUAGGGUUAUUAGACGUUUUUUGGGUGCCUCCUCUCUUCUCCUUCUUCAUCUAGUUGCUUAGUGGUGUUUGUGACUCCAUUAGAGGUGCAGCACUUGAGGCACUAAGCUUUCUAAAGCUAAGGAUUGAUAGUUAUUGUUAUAUAACAAUCUAAGGUCAGAUCUAAACUCUAUUUUAUGUUAAUAUGAUUAACUGUAUUCCAGAUCUAGGGUUUAUAGCUUUGGAUAUUCAAUUGCAUGUUCAUUAGACAAACUAGAUCCAAAAGCUAUUAGGGUUUGCAUGUACACCAUAUGAUUGAUGUUUUGCGGAAAACCCAUCAGUGGUAUCAGAGCCUAGGGUUGUUUGUUUGAUGUAUUUGAUGCGUUGGUUGAUUAUUCAUGCUUAAAAUCGAAUUUUUUUUGGUUCUGGUGGCUGGACUCGCAGAGUCCAUGGCUGAACUCGCCGAGUCCAUAGUGAACUCGACGAGUCCAUGCUUGACUCGACGAGUCGGAGUCACAGAUGGAAUGUAGAUUUCGGGAUUUUGACCUGUUUUAGUUGUAGAUAAUUACCUAAAACGUUUUAUAUUAAUAUAAUCUGACUUUUAUCAAUAUUUGGAAUUUAUCCUUGCCAAAAUUGAAGAUUAUUAAUAUAAUCUGACUUUUAUCAAUAUUUGGAAUUUAGAUAAUCUUUUGUUUUAUUAGAUAAAUAUUGAUUAUUUGUAAUUUAGAUUUGAAUUAUCAUGUGAAAAAGUUUCAAUUUCCUCCUUUAGGUUUUAUAGUUUAAAUUUAAACUUAAAAGUUUUGUUUUUGAAAUUUAAAUAGUUAAACCUCAAUGUUUUGAAAAGUUUCAAAACUUGCCCUCAAGUUUUGAUAUUUAAAAUUUUGAUUAAAAGUUUAAUUUUGAAAUGUUUAAAUUCUAAACCCCUAAUGUUUUGAAAUGUUUCAGAACCUACCCUCAAGUUUGGAAUUUAAAAGUUGAUUAAAAGUUUAAUUUUGAAAUUUUAAAUUCUAAAAACCCUAGUAAUUUGAAAAGUUCAAACCACAGCCUUAUGGUUUUAUUAAUUAAUUAAAGUGUAUAAUUAAAAAAGAUUNAUGGUUUUAUUAAUUAAUUAAAGUGUAUAAUUAAAAGUGAUUUAAUAAACCCAUAAAGUUUUGGUUUACAUUUAAUUAAAUUAAAAGUAUAAUUUUACUAAAUUAAACCACCUAGUAUUUUAAAAGUGUAAAAUACACCCUAUACUAUAUAUAACAUUAAAAGUCUAACAUUAUAUAUAUAUAUGAGUAAAAGUCAGUCUUACCGUUAGUAGGCCUCAUUCACGAAGCUGGUCUAUAAGGGGUGUUUAAGGAAAUUGCCUAUAAAAUGGCGAUUGAAUGGGUAUCCACUCUUACCCACCGCACUCUUGACUAGUGGAGGGUCGUUAGCCGAACGGGUAGGAUAGGACAGAAACCUUCCAUUAUAAGUAUAAUGAAGUACAAAGUAACUAAAUGCUUAUACAAAUUCCCAAAUCAUAGUUACUUUAGGCAAAAUGUGAAAUUGUAUGCUAACCCAUGGAAUUACACUUCGUACCCUUGUGAAACGUUAGUGGAGCGUGUGUGGUUAACCAGCACACUAAUUUGGGGAUAACAUUGGUGGCGAAGGGUGGCUCGAUGCUUAUCAUAAAUCAAUGGAGCGUGUGUGGCUAACCGGCACAUUGAUUAGGUGACAGUUGCAUUGGGUGCACCACGUGAUUCGUAUGGUUAUUCACACCUUAUUUGUGAUCCUCGGCAUCCUAGUCACAAAUUGUAGGGCAUAAUCGAGAUUAAACAAUCCAUUAAAAAUUUCAAUGAAUCUUAAAAGAUCUAGGAGUUUCAAUUCAUUUAAAACUUAAACUUCCUUUUCGUUUUUCAUGGUGGAAAUUGGUAAAUCGUCAUUUACCUACCUUCAAAUAUUUUGCGACUAGAUUACGACAUCCCUCUUCUAGGUUGUAGAGUAUUAUGUUGGAUCCUAGCUUGAUGUUUCAUUUGAGUGUUACAUCAAGAAUUCGAAUCAACUUAACUUGAAUUUUCUCCCAUUUUGUAGAUGUCUAGUUCUGACAAUCAUGGUCUUCCCAAAUCCCAUGGAACAAGCUUUCAAAAUGAAGAUGAUGUUCCAUGAUAUGAUCGAGGAACAAGAGAUCAUGCUUCACUUCCUCCACCUCCUCCAAUUGUUCUCCCUAACCCACAAGUUCAAAGGCUUGAAAAGUUCAAGCUCACUCAAGCCCUAUUGGAAAUUAAGCAUGAAGAUGGAAAGUCUGUGUGUGCACACGUCUUAGAGAUGAAGUCGCACAUUGAUAGGUUAAGUAUGUUGGGUGUCGAGACCUCAAGUGAGUUGGCUGUUGACUGGGUUCUUCAGUCACUUCCUGAAUCAUAUGGUGAGUUCGUUAGAGAGUACUAUAUGAUGGACCACGACAUGACCCUCAUUGAUCUCACCUAUUUGCUUAUAGCUGCUGAAUCAGCAAUGAUUUGGCGUGCUGGUCAAGCAAAUUUGUCUGGUGAAUCAAACUCCCAAACUUCAAUGGAUGUUGAAAAUGAUGACAUUGGAGAUCCAGAAAAGGUAAACUCUGAGAUAGUCCCUUGUGUCAUUCCAAAGGAGUCCAUUUGCUUUUAUUGCCAAGAGAAGGGACAUUGGAGACAAAGCUGCCCUGUUUACCUGAGAGAUCUAAGAGAUGGGAGAGUCAACACAUAUGGCUCUACUUCAGGUAAAAUCCAUUAACUAACUCUGUAAGUUCCUAUUUUUGAUUCUUAUACAUGAUUUGAUAAGAUUACAUUUUGAUGUUUUGCAAGAUCGAAGAAAAGAAAGGAAGCUUAAGGAAGAAGCUACUGAAUCUGAUCACGAAGAAAUGGAUUUCGAUCGCAUGGAUUCAAAGAUCGGAUUUUUGAGCUGCUACUUUAGAGUUAGGGUAGAUUGCUAAGAAAUAUGUAAUAGCAUAGUUUUUCAUUUGAAUUGCAUUGUAAGGACAAUUUUUUUCGCAAUAAAAUGAAUUUUGAUUUUAUCUAAUUUAUUUAUCCUUGCAAUGGCAUGUCUGAAAAAUUGAUGUUUGAAGGUUUCUAUUAUUAGCAAUAAUGGAUUUGAUUCUUAAUUAUGUUAUUUGUGAAGAUGUCAAGAAUUUACCAAAUAGGGAGAGUUUCUCAUCGCCCAAGAUUCAAUUAGACAGAAACUUGGAAUCAUACAACUUGGUUGCGUGAUGAAUGAGAAAUUUCAUAUUUGGAUGUUGGACUAAUUCUUUGACAAAGUGUCAAGUGAAGGACUAGGAGAUCGAGUACACAAGAUUGUACGUUGAUCAAGUCCACCACAAAAUUGAUAAAGAUAUUCGUCAUGAUUUACUAAAGUUUAGUAAAUAUGGUUAUACUUAUAAGAUUGAGUAUAACUCUGAGUUGAUUGAAAGAGUUUCAAUCAAUAGCAUAAUGAAUAAGAAGAAUCUAGUAGGCAGAAAGAUAAAAGUUUAUCUAUUCUAAGAAGAAGGGAGAGUAACUUUUAUCGUGUUUUAUGAUAAGUUUUAAUGAUUAAGAACCAUGUUUCAAUUGAUCCUCUAAGCGAGUCUUAGUGAAAUUGCAUGCCUAAGAAGAGGAAUCGAGAAUUGUAGAAAUGGUUAAAAUCAAGAAGUCAAUCAUACUUCGUUCCAAUAUCAAGUCUUAGAGUCAAGAUUGUGACUUGGGUGAAAAAGUCUUAAGUAGGUUUGUAAUACUUAUCAAAUGUAGAAUAAGAAAGUUUCUUAUUCUUGUACAUUUGAAAUUGGUAAUUUGUAAUGCCUUAGAUAAAACAAAGACCAACGAGGACCAAUUAUGUGAAGUGUUUUGUCUUGAUAAGAACUACACUAACUCUUGAAUAUUUGUUUUGUCUAGGAAAGUUUCCUGACAAGAGAAUCAUAUAUGUCAAGAGGUCAGUGGGAGUUGUAAUGAUCUUGAAAAAAGUUUCAAGAACAAAUCAAGAAUAAACCUUAUCGAUCAUCACUAGCACACGACGUGAGGUUUACAACCUAUCGUGUUGACAUUAUUUUGUUCUUGUUGAUGGGUUUUAGUCAUAAGACAUCCUAUGUGCUCAAACAAACCCUAAUGCUUGGAUCUAGGUCUCUCUAUUGUACAUGCUUUGAAUCCAAGACAAUAAACCCUAAUUCUAGCAUAUGGAAAUCAAUAUUAACAUAUAAAUGGGUUUAAGAACAUACCUUGAUUGUUAUAUAGCAAUAACAAUCCUAAUCCUCCUUGAAUUGACUUUGGAAGGCUUAGAGUCACAAGUGUCACUCCUCUAAUGGCUUACAAACACCAUAAGCAAGUGGAGAAGGUAUAAAGAGAGAGGAGNNNNNNNNNNNNNNNNNNNNNNNNNNNNNNNNNNNNNNNNNNNNNNNNNNNNNNNNNNNNNNNNNNNNNNNNNNNNNNNNNNNNNNNNNNNNNNNNNNNNNNNNNNNNNNNNNNNNNNNNNNNNNNNNNNNNNNNNNNNNNNNNNNNNNNNNNNNNNNNNNNNNNNNNNNNNNNNNNNNNNNNNNNNNNNNNNNNNNNNNNNNNNNNNNNNNNNNNNNNNNNNNNNNNNNNNNNNNNNNNNNNNNNNNNNNNNNNNNNNNNNNNNNNNNNNNNNNNNNNNNNNNNNNNNNNNNNNNUCGAAUUCUAAGGGAUUUACACCUCAAAUUCGUUCACCAUAUAUAUAAGAUAAUCCUUACCUUAUUUUGUAACUAUCACAUAAUUACAAUUCAGCCCCUCUAGUUUAAUUAAUUACACUUGAUCACAAAAUUAAUUCUUAAUUAAUUAUUGACCAAUAUUAAUUAAACAAAUAUGAUUUCUCCUUUAAUAUAUUAUUCUUAUAACAUAUUAAUAAAUCAUAAUAACCUCUCUCUCUUUAUUUAUUUCUCCAAUCAAGUUGCUUUGGUGAAGGCAACCCAAAAGGACCAUGCACCAUCGGGUCAAGUACAUACCAAAAUAGUUAUGGACUUAGACACUAAUCCAACACUUGUGCCAUUCCAAUUGAGUUAAUUAUGCAUGUGAGUUCUAUGAGUUCUCAUUUGAAUACAUAAAGACAAAGCAUCUUGAUCGAUGGAAAGUACAUUGAUAUGUAAGGAUAAGUUGCUAAACUACUUGGAUGACAUGGUGGGCGCUUGUGUUACCAUAAGGCUAGAAAUCAAGAAAGUUCAGUCCAUAUGAGUUUGGAUUUGUCGCAAACUUGGUUUUGGAAAAUUCACAUGGAUAGGAACACAUACACCAUAAAAUCUAUGUGUCAUAAGAUUCCCUCCUUCAUGAAAAUGAAUGCGAGGAAAUGCUUUCACUAAGAGAGAUUUUAAGAAGAUAGCAAUUGUGAAAAUUGUAUUCUCAUAUUCGAUUAUGGUUACGACAUCCCUUUCCAUAGUUCAAAUUGUGAGAUUUGGCAAUUAGUCUAAACGUUUAGGACUUAGUAACAUAAGUUCUGAAUUUGUCUAGACACACAUGUGAGCUUUCUAAGGCAAAGGUGUAUGAGUUUAAGACGCUUAGAUAAUGGCUUAUCAAAGCAUCAAGUAUUAGAAAUAUGAACUUAAGAAAUUCAAUAAGCAUUGUUUUCUGGAAGUUCAGCUGUUUUCUGAAUACAUGUCAAAGCUAGUGGGAGCAUAAAUGUUAUGCUUGUAAGGAAAUAAUCAUUGCAUUAGUGGGAUAAUAAGUGUUAUGCUUGUAUGAUUAUUAUGGCAAGUAUUACAAGUUAGCAAUAUUAAUUAUAGAAAAACAAGAGUUAUACUUUGCAAAGUCGCAAGGGUUGAAAAGUUGUUUUGCUAUAAUUAAGGAAGAGAAUAUUAUACUUCGUUUCAAAAUUUAAAGCUUAGAUUGAGAAAUUUUAAUAAAUAUCGUCAAAGGAUACAUAGUGUGCUCUCAAAUUUCGAUUAUGAUUACGACAUCCCUCUUCAUAGUUCGAAUUGUGAGAACGUGACACAUAAACUAUUAUGGCAUAAGAUUGAUAAAGUAUCAUAUCUUUAUGUAAGACAUUAUGCAUCGUGUCCCAUACGCUUCGGGUAUAGGAUCGAUUGCAAAUGCUAUAAUAUUUGAUCAUUCUAAAAUUUUCCAAUUGUCUAGCGCAUUAAGAGGGAAAAAGGACUAGAAUCGGUUUUGACUAAAAUAAUUAAACAACUAUCAAAGGACGAUACAAAGUUCACUGAGGAUUGGUCGCUUAUGAGUAGUUAGAAGUAUGGUAUUAGAUGGACCAUAUCGACAUUAUUAUGAAUAGAUAAGAUUCUAUUAAGAAGGAGUUGUCAUAUGGUAAAUAUGGAAAUGUUUCCAUACUAGAAGUUGGAUGUUGAGAGUCUAUGUCUAGAUUAGAAACUUUUAUGCAAGAAGGAUGUUCAAAGGAAUGUCAUUUGAAUGUGUGACUUCGCGUCUAUGGAAUUGUCUUGUAACAAUUUCUGAUAGGGUACUUUGUAAUUUCAUUGGCUAAGUCUUGGUGACUUUUGGGCUAUGACUUUGCGAAAGUAUCGUUGCAUAAAAUGUUAGAAUCUAACAUAUCCUAAUAGUGGCAAGAACCUUGUGUUCUUACACUAAUGAUAAGGAUUGGGAAUUGUGAAAUGAGCGUCGUUGGAAAAGUUUUCAAUUGAUGUAUUUCACAAAGUAAGGACCAUAGGAAAGAUAGUGUGCAUGCUUAGGGCAUGGGACAACUAUUGUUGUAAUUUGAGUAAUAAGUUGAUUUUCUGAAAUAGUAAAUGAUGAAUAAUGAGUAAUCAAUAUGGUGUUUAAAUAGAAGUGUUUUAUUUACUCCCACAAGUUUAGGGGCAUAUAGGAUUAAGUAUUAUUGUCGUGUUUUAGUUUGCAUGUUUUGACUUCCAGAAUAACUAGGUUAUUCGAACCUCCAUAGUCGAUCAUACUCUGGAAGUAGGUAUGAAGCAAGACUGUUAUGAAGAGUCUAUAGAUUGUCUGAAGAGUUUAGACAUAGCACAAGUUUGCUGUAGAGUUCGUGAGUGCUUUAAUAAGAUUAUAGUAUUAGAUUAUACCCACGCUCACGUGAAUCACUUCAUGGAUUAUAUCGCGAGUGAUUGUGAGUCGAUAAUAUUGUAUAUUCUUGAAACCAAGACGUGUGAGUUGUUAUUUGUUGGUCGGUUGCACAUUGAUAAUAAGUAAACGCACCAGUAACUUGGUGUUAUAAAACUUAUUGUUGUGUGUGAUUAGAUUAGUGAAUGUAAGCGAGCAUAUGAGUCGAAGUUUAUCUAUUCCUUUUACCCAAAGUAGGAUAAAAGUGAUAUAUGUGGGGCCCCUCGAUGAUUUAGUGACGACACCUAAGUGCUUGGCCAAGCCGGGACUAAGUUGAUGUGUUCAAUUGUAGUCUGUUGUCAGUCGUCAUAAAUCGGAAGUCGGGAAACAGUAUAGAGAGAAUGAUUGAAAUUCAUGUCUUUUGUCUAUACGAUAUCUUGAGAAUGGAGGAAUAUAUAAUCCCUUAUCUAGAGGACACGCUAUCUGAUAAGAUCAGAGUUGACAGCGGCUUUUGAAAGCUACGAUUGCUGAUCAGGUUCUGAAGUCAUACGGAAAAUAGUUAUUAGACUUAUCCAAGUGGGAGACUGUUGGAUUAGUGUCUAAGUCCAUAAUUAUUUUGGUAUGUACUUGACCCCAUUAUGAGCAUGGUCCUUUUGGGUUGCCUUCACCAUAGAAAUAUGUAGGAUGAAUUAAGGAGAGAAAGGCUUAAUUAUGAUUUAUUAAUAUAUUAUAAGAAUAAUAUAUUAAAGGAGAAAUCAUAAUGUUUAAUUAAUAUUAGUCAAGAAUUAAUUAAGAAUUAAUUUUGUGGCUAAAAGAGAUUAAUUAAACUUAAGGGACUUAUUGUGUAAUUAUAAGAUAAUUACAUAGAUGGGCUUAUGGACUCCAUAGAAGGUGGAGUGAACGAAUUCUAUGGGGAAACCCAUUAGAAAUCGUCCAAGGCUUCUAAAGAAGGAGUCCAUGGGCUGCUUAGGGAUUAAGCAGUCAAACUAGGGUUUCCUUGUUAGAUAACCCUAAUUGCCUAAGUAUAUAAGGAGCCCUUAGGCACCAAAAACGUGGCUAACUGAUUCCUUAGGGUUUCUAGACGUUUUUUGGGUGCCUCCUCUCUUCCCCUUCUUCAUCUAGUUGCUUAGUGGUGUUUGUGAAUCCAUUAGAGGUGUAACACUUGAGGCACUAAGCUUUCUAAAGCUAAGGAUUGAUUGUUAUUGCUAUAUAACAAUCUAAGGUCAGAUCUAAACUCUAUUUUAUGUUAAUAUGAUUAAUUGUAUGCUAGAUCUAGGGUUUAUAGCUUCGGAUAUUCAAUUGCAUGUUCAUUAGACAAACUAGAUCCAAAAGCUAUUAGGGUUUGCAUGUACACCAUAGGAUUGAUGUUUUGCUUAAAACCCAUCAGACUUUCCAAUGGAAGGAGCCUUCCUCUUUUUACCCUUACCAUGUCCAAUUGCUAGGACAGUGGCAAUAGCAGUAAGAGUAGGAGUAAUAGCAAUAGAUUUGCCUUUCAUGUUGCUUUCAGCAGUUCUGAGGAGUCCCUAAAGCUUGCUAAGAGUGACCUCCUCCUUUUUCAUAUGAUAGGUCAUACGAAACUGAUCAUAACAAGGAGGCCGGGAAUGAAGAAUAAUAUCAAUAGCUAAUUCUUCAUCAAAGUUGACAUUCAAUUUUAGCAAGCGGUCCACAUAUCUUUGCAUUUUUUGCAAGUGGCCCGUGAUGGACUCUCCAUCCUUCAUUUUAGUGGUGAUCAUGGAGGCUAUGAUCUCAUACCUCUCAUGCCGAGCUGAUUGAUGGUAUCUUUCCAUCAAAUCUUGGUGCAUUUCAUAGGGCCAGAAGUCCUCAUAGGACUUUUGUAGCUUAGCAGACAUGGUAGCUAUCAUUAUACACGACACUUUUUUUGCGUCCCUCUCAUGAACCCGGUACUCCUCAAUUUGCUCAGGAGUAGCAAUUUGCUCAUCAAUCUCCUUCAGCUCCUUGUCAGGGACAUAUUCUUUGUCCUUAUAUCGAAGGGCCAUGCGAAUGUUUCUGAUCCCAUCGUUAAAUUUGGAUCCAUUAAAGAUGGUUCUCCCUACUAAGUUCAUUAGGGAGAAAGAGCCUGAAGGAUUUGAGCCUAAAGCAUUGUUUCGAAUAGACAUCUGUAAAAGAAAAGGAAAAAUGUUUAGAUUAGAUGAGAAUCCUUAAUCUAACACCCAAAUGAGAUAUUAAGGCUAGGAUACAACACAAUAUUCUACAAUUGCGAAGAGGGAUGCCGUAAUCUAAUUGUAAAAUAUUUGAAGGUUGGUAAAUGAAGAUUUACCAAUUUCCACCAUAAAAAACAAAAUAGAUUAUUAAGUUUUAAUUGGAUUUGAAAUUCCUAGAUCUUUGAGAUUCAUUGAACUUUCAAUGACAUGUUUAAAUCUCGAUUUUGUCUUCUCAAGUUUGUGACUGGGAUGCCGAGGAUCACAAACAAGGUGUAAAUAACCAUGCAAAUAUACUUGGUACUCUUAAUGUUAAAAAUCACCUAAUCAAUGUACUAGUUAACCACACACGCUCCAUUGAUCUAUGAUUAACAUUAAGCUACCCUUUGCCACUCUUUAUAAGUCCUAAAUUAGUGUGUCGGUUAACCACACACGCUCCAUUAACGACUUAAUAAAGUGCAAAGUGUAAUUUCAUGGACUAGCACCAUUUCACAUUUUUCCUAAAGUAACUAAGAUUGGGAAUUUAAUAAAAGUUUAGUUACUUUAUAAUUUCAUUAUACUUUUAGCAAGAAUUGAUGUCUUAUCCUACCCGUUCGGCUAACGACCCUCCACCAGUCAGGAAGCGGUGGGUGAGAAUGGACACCCAUUAAACUGUCAUUUUAUAGGCAGUAACCUGAUACCCUCCUUAUACAUCGACUUCGUGAAUGAGGCCUACUAACGGUAAGACUGACUUUAUCUUAUAUAUAUAUCAAGGUUGCAGAAAUCGCUCGACGGUAGCUCGGCGGUGGACUGGGGUCAAGGGAUUAAUCGGGUAGACGGGGAUUAAUCGGGGACCAUUAAUUAUUAAAAAAUUAAUAAAUAAAACAUUAAUCCUAAGAAUAUAACAUUAUAUCUAUUAAAAAGUUACUAAAAAUUAAUAAAUAUACCAUUAUAACAUGAUACUAUGAUUACAAAAUCCCUUUUGAUCCCUAAUACAUCAUUUCUAAAUAACCAACAAUUGCAUAUGGAUCCAAGUCUGCAUAAAAUGGGAAGAAAAAAGUGUUAUGAACAAUGGGUUCCAAUAGCAUCGGGAAGAGAUGUGGACCUGCAACAUGUUGUCUACUGCAUUUGGAACUUUGUGAAUGUUAAGGGAAUUAAAUAGCAGGAGGCUGUGGAUAUGUGGGAAUUCCAUGAUUAAUGAUUCGAUCCUGAUUAUUGCUAUAUAACAUACAAGAAGCGGCGACUGUUGUUGAAGCUUCAGAAGGCGAAGACUGGUUUAGCUUCGAGGAUGACGAUUGACGGACUGUGAUGAUGUGAAUGGAAGAAAAAGACGGUGUCAGAGGAGGGACAGAUGGUAUCGAAGAAGAAUAUGGCAUCGUUUUAGAAGCAUCAGUUCAUGCUUUCUUUCGUUCCUUCAGACUACAGAAAGAAUUUCAAAAAGGAAAAGAAAUGAAUGCGAUGUAGUGAGAAGAACCCUAACAGCAAAUCUAACAAUUUGAAACUUUUUCCCUUAAAGGUUUUUUUACCGAUUAGGGCUCCUAGGCCCGCCUACACCCGAUAAUCUCCGUCUUUGACCGAUUUUGACCACGUCCGAUAAUAGGGUCCGAUUAGCUAUAAACGUCGACGGUGGAGGACUGCCAAGCGCCUAGGCGCCGAUUAAUCGGCCACCUAGGCCGAUAUUUGCAACACUGAUAUAUAUAUAUAUAUAUAUAUAUAUAUAUAUAUAUAUANAUAUAUAUAUAUAUAUAUAUAUAUAUAUAUAUUUAUAUCAACAUUUAAUAUUAUAAUAGUAUAAGGGCAGAAUUUUAAUCUUUUUAAAACUCUAGGGUUUUGGAAUUAAAUGUCUUAUUAAUGUGACUUUACAAAUUCUAAAACUUGAGGGCAAGUUUUGAAACUUUUCAAGACCUUUCAUAUUUAUAACCUAUGAACCAUUAUGAGUUUUAAUACCAUGAAUGUGACUUUUCAUAUAACUUGAGGACAAGUUACAAUAACACAUUACAUUAACAAUCAGAUCAAAUUUUGGGAUCAAACAUAAUUAUCACAUAAUUAUUUUUCCUAUUGAUCUAAACAAACUCAUAACAAGACAAUUCAUAUCAAAUAAUACAUAUAAUUAGUUUAUUAUCUAAACAUUUGACAAUUGCCUUUUAAAUGGAUGAAGACUAUCAUUACCAAUUCAAAAAAUAUAAUUUUUAUGAUUACAAAGUUGUUUGUGGUAACGACUCUAUCCAUUUCUAGCCAAGAACUCGAAGUUUCUGCACACGGGAGCACCGACUCGUCAAGUACAUGAACUGGACUCGCCGAUUUGAUGUCUUAUUGAGUGGACUCGUUGAGUCUGUUCAUGGACUUGGCGUGUUCAUCUAUCAGAAUGCAGAAAAGUCAAUUUUUCAACAUUAAAAACUAGUGUGCAUCAACUAUAAAAGAAAGUAAUCCUAGGCUCUGAUACCACUGUUGAGUUUUCAGCACUAUAACACUCCUAUGGUGCACAUGCAACCCUAGAUUCUUUGGAACUAUGUUUUCUCUAAUUAUACAUGCAAUUUUCAAAUUUCCAAAGCAUAUAACUUAACUAGCAUACAAUUGAAUAUAACAACUAGUUAGAUAGCUUACCUCUUGUGUAGUUCUUGGCCUUUGGAAGCUUGAGCACCUCAAAUGUAAUGUCUCUAAUGUGUCACAAACACCAAAUGCAAAAGAGGCUUUUAGAGAAUAGGUUUAGCUAGUAUAAUAUCGACUCUCACACACAUGUAGAGAGGGGGUUCUGAUUUUGACACAAGGGGGUUCAAUAUAUAGUGUUACAAACUCUAGGGUUUCAUCCAUGUAACCUUAAUGCACCAUGACCUUCCAUAUCCUUAAGGCUCCAUAGGUUAAAGCUCCAUGGACUAUCCAUGAACCACUUAGCUCACCCUAAUAGAUUUUUGGCUCACACUAUAAGAAUGAUUGAUUUACAUAAUCAACCCCUUUGAUUUAAUUAGUCUCUUUUGAUCACAAAAUUAAUUCCAAAUUAAUUCUUGAUCAAUACUAAUUAUGAUUUCCCAAUUAUUAUAUUAUACUUAUAAUAUAUUAAUAAAUCAUCAAAAAACCUUAUUCUCAAAAGGUCCAUCCUAUCAAAUUGCACUGAUGAAGGCAACCGAAAAGGACCAUGCUACAAUUGGGUCGAGUACAUACUAGAUAUAGUUAUGGGCUUAGACACCAAAUCCAACAGUUUCAUUGCGGUGGACCAUUACGAAAUUUGGCUAUUUCCAAAACAAAUUUUACCAGUCGAGUGUUUACAACGUUCUUCAAAUUUAUUACAUAUAUGCAAGGUUCUAAAAAACUUGCUGUAAUGGCGUACCAUGGUUCCAAGGCUAGUACUUGCCACUAAACUUUGAAAAAUUGCCGCCUUAAGUCAUAUAUGUAUAUAAAAAUGAAAAUAGUUGAAAAUACAUAUAAAAUUAUUAAUUAUAUACAAAACUGCAGCCUUAAGUCACGCCUUACAAACGAUGUGGCUCGCCAAGGCUCGUAAAAACUUGAGGUCUAACAUUGUCGUCAAGUCACACCUUAUGUUAUUUAGAAGGGAAUAUGACUUAUUAAGGUAAUUAACUUCUCGGUUUGUUUAUAUAUGGGUAACUAUUUUUUUAUACAUCUAUCUAACGAACAUUUUGGCAGUGUUCACAUAUGACCAUUAUGAUUGGUUGUACAACCAGGUUACAUCCAAUCGUAAUAGUCAUAUGUGACCACUUCCAAAAAGUUUGUUACCUAGAUAUAUAAAAAAAAAAUAGUUACCCACAUGUGAACAAAUCGAAAAGUUAAUUUUUUUAUUUUUUAUUUUACUUUGUAAUUUUGAUUUGGUAUAAAAUAUAACCUAAAUGGUAAAUAUUUUAAAACCAUACCAUUUUGGCAAAUAUCAUUUUAAAAUACAUUACUUUGGUAAAAAAAAAAUAGAUUUGACAUGGAAAAAAAAAAACACAUCGUCGUAUUAUAACAUUUUAUUGUUUAAAAUAUUAAAUAUAGAAUUUUAAAUUGACUAGAGAAUAAAAGUAUCCGAAAUGAAGACCAAUAAUAUGAAGAAGAGCAUCAAAAUCCACAACUAAAUCAAUUGAUUUUGGUUCUCUUAAAGUAUGAAGAAUCAAAUCCAGAAUGUUGUUGGUUCUCUUAUGAUGUAAUUUGAUUCUCAUGAGUUGAAAAUAAUCGACAAAUUGUUGCCACAAAAGGGGGUAAGACAAUCUUUCUAAUGCUAGAUUUUUAUUCGAUUUAGAGAAAUCCAUAGAGAUCGCACCGUUUGAUGAGUUAAAGCUUAGAAUGUUGUUAAUAGAAUGUUGUAGUGUCGGUGCAUCGGAGUUGAAUGACUGAAAAAAGAAGGGAUGGUGAAUAUGUCGAUGUCACUGAAGAUGGAGAUGAAAUAGAAGUUGAGGAGGAUGAGAGAUGAGAUGGUGACUAGUGGGAUCCAGAUUAAAAUUUUCAAAUAUGGUAUUAGGUUUAGGGUGAGAAGAUAAAGAUAUACGGAGUCUAUUAACUUUUUUUAAAUAUUUAAAAAAUAAAUACAUAUAUAAAAAAAGUUAAUUAAAAAUUAAAAAAUAAACUAAUAAGGGCACAAUAGUCAAGACCAAACACGCAACAAAAAUAAACAAUAUAGACCAUCCAAGUUUUAAAAAAAAAAAGUUAGGGAUCAAACGCGUAAAUUACACGAAACUAUCGGGACCAUUCGUGUAGUUUAACUAUUUUUUAUACAUGUAGAUUAUGAACUUUUUAUAAAUUUAUAAAUGUUCACGUAUAUAAUCAUUACGAGCGGACGCAACUGAUUUCAUCCGGUCAUAACAGUAUAAACACUUAAGAUUCAAAAAAAUUCUCUUAGAUGUUAAUAAAAAAAAUAGUUAACUUGCAAGAUUAAGGCAUAUUCCCUGUUUAGAACCUUGCAAGAUUAAGUCAUAUUCCCUAUUUAUUAUAUUCUUAGAUAUUAAAAAACAGUAAAGUUAAUUAAGUCAUAUUCCCUAUUUAGAACCUUGCAAGAUUUGUGAAGAACUGUUCAUAAUUUUUUUUUAUCGAAAUUUUGUAGAUUUAUACAUCUUUAACUGAUUGAAUAUGUCCAAAACUGGUAAAAUGAAAUGCAAAAUCCUAGAUCCAAGAUUAUGUUAUCCCAUUCAAAAAAGUAAAGAAGAUGUCGACAAAGAAGAGAUUUACAUACAUAAGACGGUCAUCAUUAACGUUAAAUAUUCAGAUUACAUGGCGACAUAAUAAUAAUAAUAUGCAGAUCCACAAGCAGCACCCUUAUUAACAACAACAACAACAACAACAAAAAAAAAAAAAAAAAAAAAAAAAAAAAAAAAAAAAAAAAAAAAGUACAUCGACUACAUGCUAUGAAUACAUAAAAUUACAUAGCAACCAUAUCACAACACAGUGUUAGUAGAUCUGCAACCACGUUAGGAUAUUUUCAGUGAUGGUGGACAUGUGGGUGUGGCUUCUGUGGUGGUGGAGGGUGGUGAACCACAGGUGGAGGAGGAUGGUGAACGACUGGUGGUGGCGGGUGGUGGACAACUGGGGGAGGUGGGUGGUGGACGACCGGUGGAGGUGGAUGGUGAACCACUGGAGGUGAUGGUUGAUGAUGGUGGGGAGGUGAUCUUGGCAUCUUGAUCUUUUUGUCUUUUUUGAAUUAAAAGGUUUCGAAUUUGUGAAUUGUGAAUUUGUGCUGGUGAUAGUUGGGUUAGAGAGAGACGGUGAGUUUAUAAUGGAUAAAAGUCAAACUUAAAGUCUAAGAAACGUGUAGAUGUGGAUGUGGCAGUGUUAGGUACGUACCUUAGCCAUGAAUUGAAAAUAAUGUCCAAAUUCAUUUCAACCCAUAACUUUUUUAUAAUUUGUACCUUUUUAGAUGACAUCUAAAUAACAUAAUAUAUAAUAUACUUUUGAAUGUCGACAUAAAAAAUAUCUAGUCUGCAGAAUAUUUC
RNAcentral lists this long non-coding RNA (49040 nucleotides) under Lactuca sativa (garden lettuce). Its description in RNAcentral is "long non-coding RNA (LSAT_LNC007218)". The record is from RNAcentral. Lineage: Eukaryota; Viridiplantae; Streptophyta; Magnoliopsida; Asterales; Asteraceae.